Molecule: long non-coding RNA, 65833 nt
Filed under: Triticum aestivum (bread wheat)
Lineage: Eukaryota; Viridiplantae; Streptophyta; Magnoliopsida; Poales; Poaceae
Description: long non-coding RNA (TAES_LNC021782)
Source: RNAcentral
CUUCAUGACGCCGUAUGUGAGCAAGAACCCGAGGGGCGCGUACGUGAACUACCGGGACCUCGAUAUCGGCACGAACCAGGUGGUCGACGGCAUGACAAGCUAUGGAAGUGCCAAGGUGUGGGGCGAGAGCUAUUUCGGCCCGGAGAACUUUAGGAGACUCGCCGAGAUCAAGCGCAAGGUGGACGCCGGCGACUACUUCCAGAGCGAGCAGAGCGUGCCGCCAUUUCCCUUGAAGGAGUAGCUAGUGUAGCUAUGCAAAACAAAACAAUCGUGUUUGACCGAAUGUAACUGCUAUUAGUUCUGAUGAGCUAAAAAGGUUAUAACAUGUGUCAACAUAAAGUCCCUAACUAAUUAUUUCUGCAUGAGUUUGGUGCUACAGAUAUAACGUAGCCCGAUAGAAUUCAAAACCAAGAAGUUAUUUUUUUUCAGAUAAUGGGCAGCAUCAUUCACUUUUUUUUGCGAGAUGAUGUGCAGCAUCAUUCACACAUUUGAGAUCUGUUGAGUAGAAACUAUAGUCCUAAUAACGUCAGGAGGUACAUUGAACUUGAACCAGCAUGACCCUGCAUCAUGUUCGGCUUUGCGAAAACAUCAGCUGCCGCAUUACAAAAUCAAAGGGUGCGGGGAUGACAGCGAUAAUAGUGAACUUACAUGUAAUCAGUUACAUGCGGUAAGUGCUCUCAUUAGUGGGCCAGUCCACAAUAGGCGUCGUAUAGACGUGCUGGCUCGGCUGUGCUCGGGCUAGGAAAGGAAGAUGGGCUAAAGGGAGCAAAAUGGCCCUACGGGUAGGGGUGAAAAGCACCAGACUACAUCGGGACAACUGCUACAUACGCGACAAAAUAACCGUGCACCCCUAUUUCUCGCUUUAAGUGAGCACAGGGGAAGGUUCGCGUUGGGAGGAGACCCGAUGGGCCGGCCCAGCCACGCGGAAGGCUACGGCCUAUUUUUUUUUUCUGUUUUCUGUUCUUUUUUUUAGUUUUUUUGUAUUUUUCUUUAUACGUUAAAACAUUCUACCUAUAUACAAAAAACACUCUUCAAAAACACUUUUGAAAAAUAUUGAAUAAUUAUUAAAAAAUGUUAAAGAAGAAUUCUAAAAAAAUUGAAUAAGUAUUAAAAUGUCGAACAAGUAUUUGACAAUUGUUGAAUGAGUACUUCAAAAAAUGUUGGACUAGUAUUUUAAAAUAUUGAAUAAGUAUUAAAAAUGUUGAACAAGUACAUGAAAAUGUUGAUUAAGUUUUAAAAAGUGUUGAAUGGGUAUUUGAAAAUGUUAUAACAUGUAUUUUAAAAAUGUCAAAUAAGUAUUAAAAUGUUGAACAAGUAUUCAAAAAAUGUUUAAUAAGCGUUUGAACAAUGUCGAACAUGUCUACAAAAAUGUUGAUCACUUAUUAAAAUAAUGUUUUUGACAUACGAGAAAUGUAGAGUGAAAACGAAAACAAACAUAAGAAAAAAGAAAAAAGAAAAAAUGAAGAAGAAAAAAAACAAAAAAUGGAGAAGAAACAGUGAAAACCACGACUCAUUUGGACUUAAGUUGCCUAAUUCUACUACGAUGUCACCAACCAAAGGCUGGUCUAGUGUCGGCUUGAUCGAAAGCUGGAGACCAGUGUUCGAUUCCUUGCAUUUAAAUCACAUCUAAAUCAAAACUUCAUUUCCUUCACCUGCAAAUGCCAAACUAAAUUGGGCCGGUCCGCCGACAACGUGGUCGACGCCGCCAUGGUCGAUGCCGAAGGGAACCUCCUGGCGGACAAGAAGGCCAUGGGGGACGAUCUCUUCUAGGCCAUCUGAGAUGGUGGCGAGGAAACUUCAGCAUUGUGCUGUCGUGGAAGGUGAGGCUGGUGCCGGUCCCAUCGACGGUGACCUUCAUCAAAGUCACCAAGACCGUCGAACAUGGCACGUUCGACACAGUGACAAAAUGGCAAAAGGUCGAGCCGGCACUCCCUGAUGACCUCAGUGUACAUGUGGUCUUGCAAAACCGUCAGGCCAACUUCCAGGACCUGUUCCUCGGCAGCAACAGCGUGGUGGUGGCGAUGAUGGGGAGCCGAUUCCCGGAGCUCGGGGUGACACGCGCCGACUGCAGUACACCGCGUACAUAUACUUCCGUGACGCCAUCUACAGCGAGCCGCUGGAGAGGCUCCUCCUCAACCGGUCCAAGACCCUAGGCCCCAUUGUCAAGAACAAGUCCGACUAUGUAAAGAAACCUCUGACCAAGGAGACGUUGGAGAAAAUGUUCCUCUGGCCCAGCGGUGCGGCGACCGGGCAGCUAGUCCUGGAGCCGCACGGUGGAAGAGUGGGCCGCAUCGCCGCCGAGGACACCCUGUUCCCGCACCGGAGCACCGUGUUGUACAAUAUCCAGUAUGUCGAGUUCUGGAAUGGCGAAGGGAUCGGAGGCGAGGUUACGCAGAACUGGGUCGGGAGCAUGUAUGACUUCAUGGUGCCGCUCAUGAGCAAGAACCCAAGGGGCUCUCUUUUGAAUUACAGGGACCUCGACAUCGGUAUGAAUAAGGUGGUUGACGACGUAACAAGCUAUGGAAGCGGCAAGGUGUGGGGAGAGAGUUAUUUCGGCCCAAAAAACAUUAGGAGACUCACGAAGAUCAAGCGCAAGGUGGAUGCUGGCGACUACUUCCGGAGCGAGCAGAGCAUCCCACCACUUCCCUUGAACCAGUAGAGUAGUUGUGCAAAACAAAACAAUCGUGUUUGACAAAAUUGUACUCCCUCCGUCCGAAAAUAUUUGUCGGAGGAACGAAUGUAUCUGGACGUAUUUUAGUUCUGAACUGAUAUACAUUUAUUUUUAUCUUUUUCUCCGACAAGUAUUUCCGGAUAAGAGAAUAACUGCUAAUAAUUAUGAUGAGCUAAAAAGGUUAUAGCAUCUGCCAACAUAAUGUCCCUAACUAGUUCGCAAAAAAAUAAGUGGACACCGGAUGCAAACUUCCGCUCGUGCAUACCCGAGGGGAUCUGCCGACACUGGUCCUCCUGAUGCAUCCGACGACGCGCUCCAGAUGCUUCUCUCCUCUACUCCCGAGUCCCGACCGACACGUUCCCGGUUCAUUUGCUCGUCACACGCGGACGAUCUCAUUUGCCAUGGAUCAUAGUUCCUCGGCUCAACCAUGUGAAUGGACCCUGUUUGCACAUCACCGGAGCGAUACCAUCCGCGCCAGGUCGAGCGGCCACGGAACGUCAGCCAUGGCUGAACGCCGCGUCGGCGAGCAGACCGGCAGCGGCACUAGCGUCUCUGACAUGUCCGUGUGGCAGGAUGCAGACCACACACAGCUGGCACACAUGUUGGGCGCAGCACGGUUCACACCGCGAAGUUGGAGGACUCCGGGCAAGCUGGGCAUCCACGUGUCCCCAUGCCAGGCGACGAGCUGGCCGCAUGGCUACACGCGCCCACACCGCCAGCGACUAGCGCGUGGAUGUAGGCCUUUAUGAAUUUUUGAAGGGCUGUAUGUAUGUGACAAUUUGUAGCACCAAUACGAGGAUACAUGAUACGACAAUUUCUAAGAGGACGUGAUUAGCCAGCAAUCGUUGGCUGGCUAGCGGUUCAGGGCACAUGCCCAAAUAAGGUAGUGGACCCUACCCCUGUUUCCAGCUGGUGCCCAAAUGAGGAAAGAAUGGUUCGAUCACGCACAUGGACAGAUUAUAUCAUCCCCCGAUUGUAAUUUUGCAGCCUUUCAUCCUUUCCCAUCCAUUUCAGCUCGCUGCUCCUCCUCCAACCCUCCCUCCCUUCUCAUCCCUCUUCUGCCAUGGAUCUCACAUACAUGGAGCUCUCAGGAGCGAGGAUCCAUCCACCCACCCCAUUAGCACUUGAAGGUCCCUUCCGGUACAACCUCCCCCGCGCCACCUCUCUUUCUCUUUCUGGACAUCUUGGGGAUGUACCCUCUCCCUGCAACAAGGAAACACAAAAGGCCAGCAAUGCUAGGAUGUAUGCAUGCAACUACCCCUUGGAUUAGGUCUUUUUUCAUUUGAUGUCUAGAGGAAAAAAAAAGCAAGGUAACUUGUUGCAGUUAUUUUGGAAUGUUCAGUCAACCCAACAAGCAAAUCUCUCUAAUGCAAUCUGACUUGUUAGGGUAGAAAAAACCUUAACAGAAAACAUGCAAAAACAGUUGUUUGAAUAUUGUUGACAUUGAAACACACAAGUUACAGGUUUGUUGUUUGGAAAACUUAUAAAUAAUUUUCCCAACCAAAACUCAUCUAAGGGAGGGGGAAUAGGUUUGUGUGUCAGGUAAGUAACACAUGCAGAACAUGCAAGUCUCCUAAAACAGCAAGCAAGUCUCCUAAAACAGCAAGCAAGUCAUACUCAUCACUAGCUAUAAUACACUGUGUAAUGCAUUGUGACUUGCUAGGGGCAGGCAAAAAACCUUAUGUUCCUUCAGCAAAAAUGUGGACAUUGAAAAAAACAAGCUAUAGGUUUGUUGUUUGGAAAAACAUAGAAAUAAUUUGCCUAAAAAAACUUAAAGUAAGGGGAUGUGGGAGGGUGGUUGUGUGUCAUGUAAAUCAAACAUUCAAAAACAGGCGUGUGACAGUUUUCCUAAACAGUAGGUAAGUGAGAUGUUUAACACUUGCAAGAAACAUUCAAAUGGCAAGAAAGUCCUACUCAACACUAGCUAUAGUGAAUUGUCUAAUGCACUCUGACUUGCUAGGGUAGACAAAAAAACUUGUGUUCAUUUGGGGAACAUGUUGACAAUGAAACACACAAGUCAUAAGGCUGGUUUGUUUGGAAAACUUUGAAAUAAUUUCCCUAAACAAAUUUCAAGUGUGGUGCAUNNNNNNNNNNNNNNNNNNNNNNNNNNNNNNNNNNNNNNNNNNNNNNNNNNNNNNNNNNNNNNNNNNNNNNNNNNNNNNNNNNNNNNNNNNNNNNNNNNNNNNNNNNNNNNNNNNNNNNNNNNNNNNNNNNNNNNNNNNNNNNNNNNNNNNNNNNNNNNNNNNNNNNNNNNNNNNNNNNNNNNNNNNNNNNNNNNNNNNNNNNNNNNNNNNNNNNNNNNNNNNNNNNNNNNNNNNNNNNNNNNNNNNNNNNNNNNNNNNNNNNNNNNNNNNNNNNNNNNNNNNNNNNNNNNNNNNNNNNNNNNNNNAACCAUUGGGGAAGUCAAAAAGCAAAAAACAAGCAACUCCAUAUGAAUUGUUAUGCAAGUGUGCUGAUAAAGGGGGAAACCACACUAGUGCCAAACUCAAAAAACCACAGAUCUAGCAACUCAUACCGCACAUCUGGCAACUCAUGCCCGUAGAUCUGGCAACUCGUAGCCUGUGCAUCGCAACUUUACACCCGCACCCCUCUCAAACAUCGCAACUUAUUAGUUUGUUGCCAAAAAGGAGAAGGGGAAAUCAAAAGCACGUCUUCCUAUAAUGUAGGCAAUUUUCGUAUAAGUUAUAGACAACAAUCUUUUUUGCUACACAAAAGCACUAACAACCACCUACUGGGGAUGCAUAAAAACACAUGUUGGUAAGCUCUAGAGGUUGUGCGAAGUUUACCUGAAGUUGUUGGUGAAACUUUUUUGCUUUUGACAAAGGGGGCCAGAAAGCAAGUCAUGUUAUGAUGUAGGCAAUCUGCAUAUAAGGUUCAGGCAACUCACUUUAUUUGCUGGAACAUAAAAAGCUAAUUGCCCUCUACGGAGGAGGCGGAAAAAACAAGUUGGAAAGCUAUGGGAUGUGUGAAGUUUACCUGGAAGUGGCUGACAAAGCUUCUUGCUUGCAAAGCGAGAAAAUAAACAACAAGUCCUGCUGGGAUGUAGGCAAAAUGCAUAUAAAUUUGAGGCAACUCCUCUUUGUUUGCUGAAACAAAAAAAACAUAUAAAGUGGGAUUCAGCCCCACUUGGGGCGCACUACAAGAAAUAUGUCAACUUGUGACCUUCUGUCAGUGACCCUGGAAGAAUUGGUCAUAAAUCUACGACCAUUUGAGACCAAUUGGUCAAAAGCUGUUCGGGAGGCUCCAAACCCUAAACUAUAACGACCAUUUUGGUCAGAAAGGUCGUAAUUUCCUUACACGAAAUGGUCAUAAAGCAGAUAGCACUGGACCGUUGCCUUAUUUCUAGCUGAUAACGACCAAUAUAGAUGGUCAUAACCUUGUAAAUUGUGGUGGGUUGCUAUGACUAGGCACCACCUCAUCAAUUUUGCCUAUGUGUCAUGUCCCUGUGUCAAUUUUUGCCCUAGGUUGUGAAGCAACCUAUAUUUCUGUCAUUCCCAAAAUUCCCCCGAAAAUCACAUAAAUUCUUUGUGUCAUAUCUUCGUCAAAUAUGUAGAAAAACCUUCCUUGCCUAGUUCAAAAAUAUAUCAACAAUAUUCAUUUUCCUAUUUUGUAGAACAACACUUUGUGAAGGAAGUGCUAUUUAUAUAUUCUUGAUUGUCCUCAAAAAUUUUGGGCACUAUUUCCUAUCCAAAUCAUUUCCUCAUGAAAAAAUUCAGCUCCAUUUGCCUAGUAAAUCUUCCUUGGCAAAUUUCUAACGUUUUUGUCCACCUAGAACCUUUGUGAAUGAAGUACUAGCUAUGCAUAUCCUAAUGACUUGAAUUUUUGCCACAUAUUCUAUAUGCCUAUGUAACUUAUCUGCACCAAAUUUGAGCUCAGUUAUUUAGCCAAUUUCUCUCACUAAUUUUCCGAAGUUUUUGUCCAGAGAAGAGCAUUGUGAAGAAAGUGUUAUUUCUAUAUUCUUGAUUGCCCUCAAAAUUUUUGGGCACUCUUUCCUAUCCAAAUCAUUGCCUCAUGAAAAAAUUCAGCUCCAUUUGCCUAGUAAAUCUUCCUUGGCAAAUUUCCAAAGUUUUUAGCCACCUAGAACCUUUGUGAAAGAAGUACUAGCUAUGCAUAUCCUAAUGAGUUGAAUUUUUACCACAUAUUCUAUAUGCCUAUGUAACUUACCUACACCAAAUUUGAGCUCAUUUCAUUUAGCCAAUUUCUCUCACUAAUUUUCCGAAGUUUCUGUCCAGAGAAGAGCAUUGUGAAGGAAGUACCACUUUGGCAUGUCCAAAUAGUAUCCAUUUUCUACAGUGCAUUCCUAUGCCCAAGUAACCAUCCUCCAUCAAAUUUUAGCUCAAUCCAUUCAUUAUUUUGAGCCUGUCUUCAACAUUCAUAUUUAUGUCCAAUGUGGUACUUUACAAAGCAAGCACCGCCUAGGCUCCUCCUUUUGAGCUAAAAAUUUGUGAAGACAGUCUUCUUACUAACUGAUCAUCGUCAGCCAAAACUCACGCCCAUUAGCCAUGUGCAUUUCCCGUACUGCUAAUCAAACACUUGGCUGCUAAUUCAUAUUUGAGCAUAGAUCGGUCUCCUCGUGAGAAUCUUAUGUUGUAGUUUUCUUCCUAGCACCUACCUGGGGAGUGCCCAACCCACUAGACAUGCCUAGGCCACCCAGAACGCAUGGCAACGCCACAAUCACGCGGUGACCACGCGACGGGCAUGCGAGUUUACGCGCUCUAGAGUUGGGCCCUCGGCCACCGUCCAAACCUCGACGUAUCGCCACCAAACCAUGUAUUUCUAAUUAAAUAGGUACUUAUGUAACUAGAAAUGAUUUUUCAGAAAAAUAAAGAGCAAACUAUAAGGCAGCUGCAGUUCAAAUUUGACCUGCUUCCAACUAAAUUGGCGGAAAUUUAUCUUUUUCACGAGAGGUGGAUCAGAAGUUUUUACAACCAACCAUUUUGUCAAUUGUGCAUUCAAUAUGUCCUAGUAUUUUAGAAAAUUGAUUUGGUCCAAUUUUGCAACAAAUAUAUGGUAGGUCCUUCACAAAAAAAUUCAUUUGGGGCACUCAGAAAAUGGAAAAUGAAUUUUUCGUCCAAAGAAAAUGAAAACUUUCUUAGGCAACAUUGUUUGCCAUUCCAAGAUGCACCCUUAUGCACAAUAUAAGAUCAUUUGAACAAACUAUGUCAUGAAUGUGCUCAUAAGAUUGAGCAUUUGGGUUGAAAGCCAUGCAUCUUCACACUUGAUAGCUCGUUUCUGAGAACACUUUUUUUAAAUAAUUGCGUAUUACAAGUUUACAAUUUUUUCUAUAUCUUGGUCACAUAUAAUGACACAAUGUGAAGGUUUUCCAAUUUUUUGUUUUUUUUUUGAAUUUUUUAUGCCCGUUUCAAAAUGGGAUUAAAACGGCGAGCUUGACCGUUCGUAGCUAGUGGUUGAAUCUUGGAAAAAAUUUGAUGUUUCUUUGAUAACAUAGAUACUUAUGUACCUAGAAAUGAUUUUUGAAAUAAAUAAAGAGCAAACUAUGAGGCAGCUACAGAUCAAAUUUGACCCACUUCCAACUGAAUCGGCGGAAAUUUGUCUUUUUCACCAGAGGUGGAUCAAGGAUUUUGACACCAAAUCAUUUGGUCAAUUGUGCGUUAAAUAUGUCCUUGUAUUUUAGAAAAUUCAGUUCGUCCAAUUUUGAUACAAAUAUAUGGUAGGUUCUUCACAAAAAAAACUCAUUUCGGUCACUCAAAAAAUGGAAAAUGAUUUUUUUGUGCAAAGAAAAUGAAAACUCCCUCAGGCAACAUUGUUUGGAAUUCCAAUAUGCACCCUUGUGCACAAUAUGAGAUCAUUUCAACAAACUAUGCCAUGAAUGUGGCCAUAAGAUUGAUCAUUUGGCUUGAAAGCCAUGAAUCUUCAUGCAUGAUAACUCAUUUCUAAGAACAUUUUUUAAAAUAAUUGUCGUAUUACAAGUUUAUUAUUUUUUAUGGAAACUUGGUCACAUAUAAUGACACAAUGCAAAGAUUUUCUAGUUUUUUGAUUUUUUUUUGAAUUUUUUAUGCCCGUUUCAAAAUGCGGUCAAAACGGCGGGCUUGACUGUUCCUAGUUAGAUGUUCAAUUUUGAAAAACUUUUGAUGUUUCUCCAAUUAAAUAGAUACUUAUGUACCUAGAAAUAAUUUUUGGAAAAAAUAAAGAGCAAACUAUGAGUCAGCUGCAGUUCAAAUUUGACCCAGUUCCUACUAAAUCAGCGGAAAUUUGUGUUUUUCAUCGGAGGCGGUUCAAAACUUUUGACAUCCAACCAUUUGGUCAAUUGUGCAUUAAAUAUGGCCUAGUAUUUUAUAAAAUUGAUUUGUUCCAAUUUUUCCACAAAUAUAUGUCAGGUCCUUCACAAAAAAAACUCAUUAUGGGCACUCGAAAAAUGGAAAAUGAAAUUUUUGUCCAAAGAAAAUGAAAACUCCUUAAGCAACAUUGUUUGCCAUUCCAAGAUGCACCCUUGUGAACAAUAUGAGAUCAUUUGAACGAACUAUGCCAUGAAUGUGGCCAUAAGAUUGAUCAUUUGGCUUGAAAGCCAUGAAUCUUCACACAUGAUAGCUCAUUUCCGAGAACACUUUUUUAAAAGAAUUGCAGUAUUACAAAUUUAUUAUUUUUCCUGCUAACUUGGUCACAUGUAAUGACACAAUGCGAAGGUUUUCCAUUUUUUUAUUUUUUUUGAAUUUUUUAUGCCCGUUUCAAAAUGCGUAAAAAUGGCGAGAAUGGCCAUUCCUAGCUAGUGUUUGAAUCUUAAAAGUUUUUUAGUGUUUAUCUGAUUAAAUAGAUACUUAUGUACCUAGAAAUGGUUUUUGGAAAAAAUUAUGAGCAAACUAUGAGGCACCUCUAGUUCAAAUUUGUCUUGGUUCCUACUGAAUCUGCAGGGUUUUGUCUUUUUCACUAGAGGUGGAUCGAAAGCUUUUGGCAGCCAACCAUUUUGUAAAUUGUGCAUUGAAUAUGGCCUAAUAUUUUAUAAAAAUGAUUAGGUCCAAUUUUGUAACAAAUAUUUGGUAGGUCCUUCACAAAAAAAACUCAUUUUGGGCACUCGAAAAAUGGCAAAUGUUUUUUUUUUGCCAAAAAACUCAUUUCUCAUGACAUAUUUUUAAAGAUAUUUAUCUUAUUUCAUGUUUGUUACUUUUCCUGAAAACUUAUUCACAUUUGGUAACACAAUGAGAAGGUUUUUUAUUUUCUUUUUGAAUUUUCUCAGGUCAUAAAAUAGUUGAUAUGAUUUUAACAUGCUAUUUUUAAUCAACUACGACCAAUUUAGAUGGUCAUAACGUGGUACUGCAUUUUGAUUGGUCCGUCGACGUCUCACGCGGAUCGUGCACGGAACACCGUCGGAUGCUCGCGGAUCCAACGGCAUUCCUCGGCCCACCACACCAACCCCAAGCCCACCUAAGCCGAAACCCUAGCUCUACUUGUCGACAUUUUCCAUCCACCCCCCCCCCGCCUCCUUUCUUUCUCUGCCUCACGCAACACGCACCCGCAGUCCAAUCUCUCGCUCCUCCUUUCUUUCUCUGCCCCUCGCUCCCACAAUCCCUCCCCUGAAACCCUUGCCGCCGCCACCUACGCCUCUUGUUCCGGCGUGUUCCGGCGGGCCUCGCCGGCGCGUAGCCCAGAUCCGAGCUCCCCUGCCUCCGCUCUUCCCUCCCCUCCGGCCAGAUCCGCUUCUCGCGGCCCCGGGAGCUCAUCCCCAAGCCCUUACCACGGUUAGGGUUUCGAGGGUGGCAUUCCCACCAAUUCCGGCGCGACAGCGGCAACUGUGCUCCGUCGUCUUCGACGCCUGCCUCAAGUCCCACGGGCGGUUCUGCCUCAUGGAUGGUGCUCCUGCACCUGAUGGCUAUGGGGCGGACGCGCGCGGUGGGUAAACUCUGGCGAGGCGCAGCUGUAUCUUUUCGAGAUCUCGCCAGGUACGGAUCCAUGGCGACAUCAUGCUUCCAAGACCAUCUUCCUCGAUCUUGCCCUCUCAUUUACUUACGCAUCUCCAUCCCUCGUAUGUGUUUCUUUGAUCUCAAGGGACCACGACCGACACCACUGACCAGGGCAUUUCCCUCGCUCGGCCUUGACUGCUCCAAGUCCAAGGUUGCUGGGGAAUGGAGGAUGGUGCACGGUAGAGUGGAGAUCAGGCGGAUCGCCAACAACAUCUCCAGGCGGGCUACCUUCGGCAAGCGCAGCGCCGGGCUGCUGAAGAAGGCGCAUGAGCAGUUGAUCGUUAUCAGUAAAGUGAUCUGUGCAAGGUUGCAAUGUUGGUUCUAUAUUUUCGUUGAUGGAGUAGAUGAAUUAGUUGUAUAGCUGUAGAUGAUGAGUAGAUGAUGUGUACAUUUUGUGUUCUUGAAACAAAAUUACUAAGCAAGGUGAAGCCCUGAUCUUGGCUUCAUCACUGUGCUAUCUCUCUGGUAGCUUGCUAGUACUAUCUCUCUAAAACAUAUGCAAUUUUAAUCCCAAAAAUCCAACCUGGUAGUGGCAGAUUUUGCCUUGUUAGAGUUGUAUUGCGAUUUAAUUUAGUGCUACAUGGUUUUAGAUUUCUUUGUUAAGUUGAUCCAAUUUAGUGCUACCAGCAUAGAAGUGAAGUGUGUAGGAUUGGUAUUAUGCCCCUGUGUUAUUUGUAUUCUUCACAGGUUCACACAGUCAGUCUUCCAAGGUAUGUCAUGCAUCCUACUAGUGUUCACAGCCCUCCAAGUUCAUGGGGGUCUUGUUUGUUUGUUCAUGUGAUGAUUCUUAUACACAUUUCAUAGUUUCUUCUACAUAGGCGCUACAUUCUGGGUAAAUCCUAUGCAGAUUAUGAAGUAACUUGGGUGCCUCGGUAACCAUCUUCUUCGUUCUUUUGUAGUUGUGGAGACCCUACGGGUUCUGGUGACGGCUAGGGUUCUGAUGUGGUUCGAUUGUGGCAUGGCAGAGCGGGCGAUAGAGGUUUCUUGGAAGCCACCAACAUCAACGGCGUGCUCUCACUCCAGCUCCUAGCCAGGGUUCGUUGGCCUCCUCUCUCUCUCUCUUCCCCCACUAUCUCUCUAUUUCGAUUUACCUAUCUAAAUCCCCUCUCUCUGCAACUGACCCCUUCUCUCCCCUCGCCUUGUGGAUACAGAUCCAUCGAGUGAUACAUCAUCGCCAGAAUGUAGUCCUUGGUGCAGUCCUCCCUCAGGCCACAACACUCACACUUGACUGACUCUAUCUCCAUUGCUGCUGCCUAUGGCUAUUGCUCUCUGGUGUGGUGUGCAAUGCUGAGCUGACCUUGGUUGGCUUCUUAGGAGGCUAUUUGUAGGGGAGGAUGUUAUUACAGUUGUGAGGGCAGGGGUGGGGAUGGGAAUUUAGGUUGUUGUUACUUGGUAGUACUUACACAGUGAAGUCCAGUUGAUUUUUCAUAUGGUAUACCUUGUUAUCGAUCGUCAAUUGCUUCCUAAUCCACCUCAUCAAAGCUUUCAAAGGCUCUCAUGUUUUCUACAUUACAAAAAAUUGUAGUGCUGACCCCACAAGUACUUAGCAUUUCUAAAUGUGUCAAUUUAUUUUGCUCCCCUAGGUUUAGCCCCUUAGUUACAAAGACUUUAAAUCGAUCUGUGGGCAAGUGGGUUGGUAAACAUAGAAGAUGUAGAGAUGUAGAACUGAAGCUUGGUACUUAUCCAUUUAAUUUGUAGGUACUUAGUCUUACUACACGGUGAAUUGUAGUUCGUUUGUUAUAUGGCAUAGCUUAUUAGCAGCUGCUGCUCUUUAUUUCAAGCAGUAAUGUAGUAGCCUACUUUGUAAACUGAUGAUUUGUAUGUGUUAAGUUUUCAACCCAGACAACCCCACUAUGGUAACUUGCUUCCUAAUCUAGCACGUGAUUUUUUUGGAAAUAUUGCUCUUUUCUUUUUUGUGAAUCAUAUUCUGGACUGACUGUUAGUGUUGUUGAAUGCACAUAUUAUUUUGUUACUGGGUAUGUGAAAGCCAAUUAGCUAGGGUCAAUUUCUGCUACUGCUAAUGCCUAUUGAUCCAUAUGUUCUUGAUUCUGUACACAUGGACAACUUACACCUAACGCCAUGUACUAUACUGACAACCGCCUCUCGUCUAGCGCUGCUACACAACCACAUUUCCAUAUGUUCUUGUUUAUGAUGGUCUUUGUGAAUUAUUCUUGAGAACAAAUGUGCUUGUGAAAGUUAGAUCAGUAUUGUUUCUUGAUUUGUCUCAUGUGUCCAUGUCCAGGUUCAGUUAUUUCCCUUGUAAUCAGCUCUGUUUUAUGUCAUUUCCUGGUGUUAACAUCACCAUGGCAUGACUAUUAUAUCACUUAUUGAAUGACUUGGUGGAAUAUGAAUCUUAGUGACAGUAACGUUAUGGCGGUAUAAUUCGGCAAUUCGCCUCAUCCAUUUUUGUAGCUGAAUUCUGCGGCAUCUGUUGUUUCAAUUUGAUGUUGUUUUAAUAUUUGUCGUUUCAACUCAGAUGUUCUCAUUUUAUCUUCACAUCUACACACACACACACACACACACACACACGCACGCGCACAGAGAGAGAGAGAGAGAGCUUUUUCUGCUGUGGUGCACAUGGAUGUGGAAUAAUGCUCAUUUUGGUAUAAAGAUUUGGAGUCUUGCCCAACUUUGCCUAACUGUUCCACUGCUGGCAUAGAAAAGUAUUGUUGUGUGAUGUUCCCCUGCGGACUUGUCUCACCAGUCCGGGUAGCAAGUACUAGCAUCAUGUGCUUCAUUCUAUGUGUUGUGACGGUGCCUGUGCUAGUAUGCUUAGAAAUUUGGGCUAGCUUUUUGUGUACAUAGUCUGUGAGUUGUUGCUUCUUUCUACAGAAAAUAAUUUGGGUUGUCUUCUGUGGGGGUGUGCAGGGCUGGAGAGCUUUCCGCGGAGGAGAUGGACCCUCUGAUGGCGGUGGUGCACAAUCCGCGGCAGUUCGUCUCAGUUCGUCUCCAACGUCGUUGACAUGAAGCUCGGGGAUGACCUUGAGAGGCUCAAGAAGAUCACGUAUAAACUCCUCCCCCUCUUGUUUUCUUUUUGCUUCAUACUGUUUGGUGGUUGAUUGAUGAUUAGGUGCUAGGUUCAACUGGUUAUGAUGUUGUUAACCAACAUCUUACACAUGCUUUAGUAGUAGCAGUAGUUGAUAUCGCAUCCAAUACUUUACAGUCUAGUUCUGGGAUUGACAUAGUGGGUUUCUGGAAGCAGAUCUCCAGACAUUAGAAUGCCUGGAAUGCGUUUAUUCAGUUGUUCUUGAUGGGCAUAGUAUUGUUCUGGUAGCAUGUACUAACUUCAUGUGCUUCAUUCUAUAUUGGUUUAUACACAGCAAUGUGGCUGGAGUUUGACCUCAAAAUUUCAGACUCUUUCUAUCCAUGUGCAACAGCGAUGCUUUGGAUUUCAUCCACGCAACAAAGGACUUCAUGGCCAACCAAGGUGCAUGGUUCUCGCAAGCGACGAAUGGAGGUUUUUCGACAUCGGCUGCACAAACCACCACUGUGAGCUCCUCCCUUUUCUAUGCUACAACCAUGCUCUGUUUGAGUCCUUGCCGACUGUUGUGUUGAUGAUCAAGUGCUGGUGCUUCAUAUGGCUAUUUGAUUUACUACUGGUAAUUAGUAGUAUUAGAGUGCCGCUAGUUUAUUAGGAUGUGGCUGAAACCAUUGGAUGGCCUUCCUGGACGUGUUAUCCAAAAUUAGUACUUGUCCCAUUUUUUGUUUCCUUGAUGGACAUGUUAUGGUUCAAGUGUCGAUGAUGUCUAGUAGUAGUUUGCUAGCUAUAUACUGCUACUGAUUGAUACGCUUGUGGUCUCAUGGAAUCAUAUAUUAUACUAUAUCUAGUGUUCUUGUGGUUCUGUGAAGAUGCAUCACAAACAUCUACGUCUUUGAAGUUGGCUGAAUCUAUUGCUUUAUCAUAUAUUUGGUCCAUAAAUCUACAUUUCUAUGAGAUCUCUUUCAAUAUAUAAAUUUUCGGUAGUCCAGGAAUAAUAGCGACUCUAAUGCUGGUAGCCUAUGUGUUCACUCUUUUACAGGAGCUCUAGUUCUAUGAAAUUUGAAGUUUGAAGCCGUAUACUCAACAGAGUUGUCUCUUAUGUGUGACUAUAAUAGACUGUAAAUAUUGUAAUAUUGUAACAGUAGGCAUAUUGUGGUUGUAAUAGAUUAUUUGAUGAACUACAUUUGUACUGUUCGGUCUGAAAUAUUGAUUAUGUAUGUGAUUUGAAAACGUGUGGAAUGGAAGCCUGGCUCGUGGGACCCACUUGUGAUAAUAAUCUGAGCAGUUUUGAAAUUUCUGUCAAGUGGGCUGAAUGUGUGAGAUGAUGACAAGUGGGACCCAUUUGAUUGGUCGGACCAGCUUCAAAAUAUAAUGGCCGAAACAAUGUUAAAAGGCCACGGCCCAGAAAUAAAUAAAAGGCCGAAUUGUUGGUCCAGGCCCAGGUAGCUAACAGAAACUGGCAAAAAAAAUAGAAUAAAUGGGCUCAUUUAAUGGGCUAAUUGGACCGGGCUGAUUCUUGUCAACGACCUUUUCAUUUGGUCGCAAUUUUGCCAUGUUAGCUUGCCACGUCGGAUCCGACGUGGCCUGGGCAGACAGCUAGUGACCAAAACAAAAGGUCGUUAGUUCAAUGAUCUUUUGUUUUGGUCGUAAAUGUCUACAACCUUCUCAUAGAGAAGGUCGUUAAUUUCAUUUUAUGACGGUCAGCUUUUGACCAUCUGUUUUUAGUCACAAAAAGGUCAAAAAUGGAAAAUAAUAACCACUCAGUGACCAAUAGUCAAGGUCACAAGUUGACAUAUUUCUUGUAGGGGCACCUCCUGGCUGCCUCCCCUCUUCCCCCCACCUAUAUAUAUAUAUAUAUAUAUAUAUAUAUAUAUAUAUAUAUAUAUAUAUAUAUAUAUAUGGGAGGGGGUGCCACACAAGACCUACAAAAUUGUCUUAGCCGUCUGAGGUGCCCCUCUCCACAAUUUUGUCUCUCGGUCAUGUUUUCGGAGUGCUUAGGCAAAGCCCUGCAGAGAUAGCUUCACCAUCACUGUCACCAUGCCGUCGUGCUGCGGAAAUCAUCUACCACUUCGCCCGUCUUGCUGAUUCAAGAAGGCGAGGACGUCACCGAGCUGAAAGUGUGCUGAACGCGGAGGUGACGUAUGUUCGGUACUUGAUCGGUUGGAUCACGAAGAAGUUCGACUACAUCAACCGCGUUGAUAAACGCUUCCUCUUACGGUCUACGGGGGUACGUAGACACACUCUUCCCUCCCGUUGCUAUGCAUAUCCAUGGAUAGAUCUUGCCCGUGUGUAUUUUUUUUCAUGCAACGUUCCCUAACACACGGAGAUAUACAAUAGCAUUUAUUAUUGCCUCUAGGGCAUAUCUCCUACAACAACUACUUCAUAGCUUUUACAGAGAAUACCUUGCUGAAAACUGCUUCCUGAUUCCUUCUACCCCAUGUUGGGUUUGAUACUCUUACUUAUUGAAAAGACUAUGAUUGAUCCCUAUACUUGUCGGACAUCAGUAUGGUGAAAGGGAAAUAAAUAAUUUCUUUUCUGUUUGGGAAUCGCCUCAAAUUUGUUUAGCAUGAAAGAUAUUGGAUAGUCUAACCUAACGAGUGAGUGGAAAAACUUACCUCUCAAAAUACAGUUAUCUAUGUUUUAAAGAUAUUGGAUAGUCUAACCUAAGGAGCUCUGGCACCGCUGUAAAUCUCUACUUCACUCCGUGAAUAUCCUAUCAUUUUAAUUUGAUUUUUUAGUCACCGCCUUCUCAUUCAAGCACCAACUUCGAGAGCGCUAUUUUCAUUCUUAGUGUAACAUGCAUUUGGUUUAAUUAAUGUUAGAGUAUAGCAUGAAUGGAUGUCUUCUAUCACUACUAGGAAAAUGUUUUUAACGACGGUAUAUGUGGUUGUUAAAAGUCGAGAAGUGGUCAUUAUAGGUCGUUAAUGAUCACAAUAUGUUGGUCGUAAUAGGAUUCAUUGUUAAAGUAUAACGACCACAUACCUUUUGUGGUCGUUAUUCUUGUAACGACGGGAUGAUGUGUCGUAAUCAAUCCCGAGGCAAUAACGACGUCCACUUUUUUCAUUCAUAAUAAUAUUCUCAUGAUGGCAAAAAUAUCAUUAAUGACUAAUUUUUAAUAUUUACAAUCACUCUCUUCAUUUUUAUAUACUUCAGAAAGACUUAUAUUUGGUAUACAUUUCCAUUCAUGGUCACUUUAUGUAGCAUCCAACAUUUGAAUAUUAACAUCCACAUGUAGAAACAAAAGAAUCUGAAUUGAAAGGGCAUCGCUUCUUUUAUUAAUAGAAAUAAGAUAAAGUAACAACAUUUUGACCUACAAUCAUGUAACUAAAAUAUCCUUCAAGAAAUUCGACUGAAAAGCACUCAUUAUAUGACCAAUGUAGUUGCCCAUAUCUAACCGGAAACUGGGAUAACUAUCAAAGAUAAUAUUUAUUUUUGAGGGCUCAAAGAUAAUAUUUAUUAAUCUUCAAUUGUGGGACACCAUCGUUGUUUGUAAUUAUAUAAUUGUUUAUUUGUGGUUACAAUGCCUCCUGGUGCUUCUAUAUAUUAUGAUGGACAAUUGGUCUUACAAAACAUUGAGUAAUUUAUGAAUGAAUGUCCAUGUAAAUAAAUAAGCACAAAGUACAAAAUCAUAUAAAAUCAAUGCAUGAGAACAACUUACAUGAUCAUGCUGGCUUUCAUGAGAACCAUAACUUAAAUUUAAAUUAAGUCUUACAUUUUUGAUGGAGGCUCUAGAAUUAGCCCAGGCUACACCCUUCUUGCGAGUCCCGGAAAAUAGUUUAUCCACACUUGGUGCCUUGUUUUCCUCUACUCCUUGUUCUAACAGAGGCAAAGCGACUAUUAUUAGUUGAAAUAAAAUGGAAAGACACGUCACACUAGGGUUAUAUUAUUGGAAAUUAAAAAUGACAAGAGAAGUUAUACAAUGUACGAGGUUCCAAAUUAUAUGUCUAAACUGUUUACGGCUAGAUUGAUGAAUUAUUUUGAGGUUGGCUCUGUUUUGGGUGCUUCCCACACUUUUUUCUGUAGUUAUAAAGGAUUAAAUUCUCAAGCACGCAAAUGGUUGAAAAUUAAGAAACAACAUGAGAAUUUACCACUCAGUCUGUCAAAGGUGCUCAUAGCAGUAGGGUGUGCAUGUGUGCGUUUAUAGGAUGAAUGUAUGUGUUUAUGUAUGGGCGCUUGCGUCUGUACUAUGUUAAGAAAAACAUGGGAAUUUACCCCAAAAAAAUCCUUGCCGAAGAAAUGCUCCAUGAUAAGCCAUUUCCAAAUAUCCUUUGGGACAUGUUAAGUACCUUUUUCAUAGUCUCCAGCAGUCGUCUUGGGUUGCACAAAAUUUCAGUGCAAGUCUCCACACCAGUUGAUCCAAAGCUUUUUAACAUGGGCUAAUAUCUCAUUUUUGUACAUGUCAAUUGCAAUGUUCUCAUCAAUGUUUUCUAGCUUGUCCUGAAUGGGUGUUCAUAAAAUAGAAUAGCAUAAGUACGACAAUACAUAAAUUCAUAUUAUAAUGUUGGAGCCUUUAAUACCUCUAACGAUGGAUUAUUGGAAGGUUACAUUCGGACACCGGAAUGGUUUUGGGAAGUUUCGGAUGUUUUUCGGAGUACCGGGAGGUUACGGAACCCCCCGGGGAAGUAAUGGGCCAACAUGUGCCAUAGGGGAGAGAGAGGGGAGCCCACAAGGGGUGGCGCGCACCCCCCAUAUAGGAUGUCCGAAUUGGACAAGGGGAUGGGGCGCGGCCCCACUUUCCUUUCCCCCUCUCCCUCUCCUUCCCUCUUUCCACCUGCAUGAGAAGGAAAAAGAGGGGGGCCGAAUCCUACUAGGAGUGGAGUCCUAGUAGGACUCUCCCCCUUGGCGCGCCCCCUUGGUGGCCGGUCUCUUCCUCUCCUCCUNNNNNNNNNNNNNNNNNNNNNNNNNNNNNNNNNNNNNNNNNNNNNNNNNNNNNNNNNNNNNNNNNNNNNNNNNNNNNNNNNNNNNNNNNNNNNNNNNNNNNNNNNNNNNNNNNNNNNNNNNNNNNNNNNNNNNNNNNNNNNNNNNNNNNNNNNNNNNNNNNNNNNNNNNNNNNNNNNNNNNNNNNNNNNNNNNNNNNNNNNNNNNNNNNNNNNNNNNNNNNNNNNNNNNNNNNNNNNNNNNNNNNNNNNNNNNNNNNNNNNNNNNNNNNNGCACCCCAAAGGCACACCAAUUGUUUAGCCGUGUGCGGUGCCCCCCUCCACCGUUUACUCCUCCGGUCAUAUCGUUGUAGUGCUUAGGAGAAGCCCUGCACGGAUCACUUCACCAACACCGUCAUCAUGCCGUCGUGCUGACGUAACACAUCAAAUCCAUCGACACUCUGCUGGAUCAAGAGUUUGAGGGACGUCAUCGAGCUAAACGUGUGCAGAACUCGGAGGUGCCCACUACUAGAGAAAAGCUUAAUAGUGGCACUGGUUUUUUUACAUACCAGUAGCGCGGGCACCCGAGCUACUGCUAGGGCGCUACAACUAUUAUUUAACAAUAGCGCGUUUCUGAACAAGCGCUGCAGCUAAAAUACUUAUUAGUAACGUUGCUUCCUCCACCAGCGCUACUACUAUCAUCAUGUAGUAGUAGCGCCCUAUUUUCUCCCCACUCUACAACUAGGCAAAUAGAAAUAAAAAAUAAAAAAGCAGUCAAGUGCAAUAUACAUGGAAAUUAAGACAAGUCCAGUGCAAAUAAACUAAGUUCAUAGAACCAUCUCACAAACAUUAACGACAGUACCACAUUUAAUAUAACCACACAAUCUCACAAACUCAUAUAGUAGUGAACAAUGCAUGGAUAGAUCAUAUUUGAUAAGUCUACUAGGUAGUCAUACUAGCAUAUAUAUGGUUCAACAGCCACACGGAUGCAUAUGAAGUUCUAGAUGAUGUCGAUGAAGACCAUCAUCGUCAAGCCUGGGCGGUGGGUGUUCCUGAUAGUAAUUAGGAUUGCCUGUCCAACAUGAAGAUUCUUGCCGACGAGGAAGCUCUUCCACCCAACCGAGUUGAAGUGUGUGCGAUCGUCCGUGUCCACGCUGUACGCACAAGUGGUGACGGAACCCCUUGCGGUAAGGCGUAUUCCAGCAGAGCCUUCUUCAUUAGGCUUGAUACCACAACUCUCAGAUAGGCUCUUUGCCAAUUUCUGAAUAAGAAAAACAUAUCAAUUAAUAAGUAGCCUCACACAUUCUACACGAAGCAUAUAUAUCAUCGGACUCUACACUAAGCAUAUAUAUUAUCGGACUCUACACUAAGUAUAUAUAUCAUCGGACUCUACACUAAGUAUAACAAUAAAGCAUAUAAGAUUCACUACGCAUAUAUAUGAUCGGACUCUACACUAAAGUAUAACAAUAAAGCAUAUAAGAUUCACUAUGCAUAUAUAUCAUCGGACUCUACACUAAGUAUAUAUAUCACCGGACUCUACACUAAGUAUAACAAUAAAGCAUAUAAGAUUCACUAAGCAUGUAAGAUUAACUAAGCAUAUAAGAUUAACUAAGCAUAUAUAUCAUCGGAUUCUACACUAAGUAUAACAAUAAAGCAUAUAAGAUUCACUAAGCAUAGAUUCACUAAGCAUAUAAGAUUUAGUAAGCAUAUAAGAUUCACUAAGCAUAUAUAUCAUCGGACUCUACACUAAAGUAUAACAAUAAAGCAUAUAAGAUUCACUAAGCAUAUAAGAUUCAGUAAGCAUAUAAGAUUCACUAAGCAUAUAUAUCAUCCGACUCUACACUAAAGUAUAACAAUAAAGCAUAUAAGAUUCACUAUGCAUAUAUAUGAUCGGACUCUACACUAAGUAUAACAAUAAAGAAUAUCAUCAAAUUACUCUAAAAACUACAGUAAAUGCAACAUACCAUCAUAUGCCGAUCAACCAUGGUACUUGUCAGGCGGGUCACGAAUGGCACCCUGACGAAGUCAGCACGUGGCGGAAUGAUAUCCCAUAGGUUGCACACCUCCUCCUCGCUCAACUUCAUUCUUUGAGCUACGAUGGCAUCACCGAGUGGGUCGUCAUCAUCCUCAUCAUCCUCAUCAUCCUCAUAAUCUUCUGCUUUGUUGAUAUAAAUCACGGCCAGCUUGGGUCUUUUAGUUCUGAAGGAGAAACUGAUCAACUCACCACCGGUGAUACGUAUGUUGUCGAUGAAAUGGACCCAUCCAUCUCCUCCCACCCGCGUCAUCUUUCGUCAUUUCUCAAUCUCCAUAGUGUAGGGGGCCCCAGGAGCCUCAAAUGUCACAGAGUCUCCAGUCAGAUUGUUGAAUUCUGACCUCACAUUGCAUGGGACGAUCUAUGUACAAAAAUCAAAAUGAUAUAUACACGAUGCAUUAAUGCCAAUAACACUAAAAACAAAAUAGUAGUUACUAGUUUCAUAUAAUUUAUUACCGCCGCAUGAAGAAAACUAGACUCGACGUAGAUGCCAAACAGCGUGCCAGUUGCAAGCCUGCUGGCGCACCUUGACUUGCACCGUCGACAUGGUGGUGGUGAUGGUGGUGGUGGCGCCAUUUCCCUAAAGCAAUAUGAUUAAAGGAUUAACAAUCCAAAAAGUAAACAUAAAGUUUUCAUAGUUAGAGUUCACAUGGCAAGCAAAAUAACAACUAAAAAGUAAACAUAAAGUUCAGUCCAACAAUCACAAAUUGCAAAAGUAGAGUGAUUGUAUGAUAAAACACAAGAGUUUCAUGUGCACCUCAAAUCUGUGUCAAACAUAUUCUGUCGCGGACUCAAACAAAAUUAGAAUCCUGUCAGCAAAUUGCCAACGAAGCAUACCAAGAAAGCUAGCAAUCUAGUAAACUAAUGUCCUCAACUCUUCAGAUGAAGCGUCGCUAUCAGCAUGAAAUUUGCACUAAACACAAGGUUAAACAAUACCAGUAGCUCAAUAAUCUAGAGAUGUAACAAACAAAUAUAUGGCAAAACAUAACAAUACUUUGAUCUCAUCUCAUCUUCAUUAAUCACAACAAAGCACACUAAAUAAACUACCCCCUUCUCAUAUUAGUAAUCCUAAAUCUUGAUGAUUUCUGAGUAUAGCACUUACAAAUUAACUAUUUUUCUAUGAUAGGAACAUGAGCUUGUAGCUUUGUCUCUCACAUGAACAACACCUAGUGGCCAAGCCCAUACUUUUUUGGCCAUGAACAUCACCUCAAAAAAAUCUACAUUUUUUAACCAAACCGAACACUAACCCAUCUGACCAUCAAUAUUCAUUAGGGUUAAUUUGAGAAACAACAUGGCGAGCCGCCACGGAAAAUCGAUUGGAGCCCCUAUGAUGAACCCUAACCAAGAGAUCGAGAGGAGCUACUAUGGCGCGCACAGGGAGGAGGAGAUCGAGAGGGGGACUUACGGGGCUGGAGCGUCGGAGGAGGCAAGAGGCGACCGCGCGUGGUGGCGGCGCACGACACCGUCGACGGGGGUAAGGCGACCAGGGACGAACCCUAACAGCGGCGUCAUCGUCGUCGGGCGGAGGGGAUCGAUUGUGAGAGGAGAGGGUGCGGGGGCGCUUGAUCGGGCCGGUUUUCUUUAGCUAUAGUAGUAGCGCUGGCUGGAGCACCACGGUACUGCGAAGCCCACCAGCUGUAACGCCCUUUCAUAACAAACGCUACAGCUAAGUGGGCUACUGAUUCUGCCCUGCGGCCCAUGUAAAAGUAGCGCGGCCCAAGCAAACAAACGCUGCUGUUAUAUGUUAGUAGUAGCGUAUUUUAUACACAGCGCUACUGGUAAUUACUAGUAACGUGGGGUCACAAAAACUCGCUACUGUUAAACUUCUAUCUAUAAGCAUUUUCCUAGUAGUGGCCGUACGUUCGGUACUUUAUCGAUUGAUGCGAGGAGACGUUCGACUACAUCAACCAUGUUAAGUUAACGCUUCCUCUUUCGGUCUACGAGUGUACGUGGACACACUCUCCCCUCUCGUUGCUAUGCAUCUCCUAGAUAGAACUUGCGUGAGUGUAGGAUUUUUUUUUGAAAUUGCAUGCUACAUUUCCCAACAACCCGGUACCAAUCCUGCUGAUUACCUGACCGAUGAUAUAGAGUUUGAAACAAUGGAGGUGGACGAAUUCAGAAUCCAGGACGGGCAGCCUCUCAUCAAACCUGAUCAUCCUCCUCCUCUAACAACGAUGAUGUGAAGACUCCAUGAAUGGUACAUGGAAAGAUGCCACAAGUCUGGGAAGCAUACUUUGACAAUGAGAAUUAAAGAGGAGCAUGACCUCAUUGGAAUGGAUAUUUUGAAUGUUGAGUUUGACGAAUUAUUCCAGUUAUACAAUCAAAAGGCCCUCGACAAAACACUCGUGACUUGCUAUUGUCUGUAAGUACUACUUCUGUAAUAAUUAAGUCUCUAUAUAUAGCUCAGCUCUUUCAUUGCAUGUAUAUAUAAUUAUCCUCACUAUAUUAUGCAGGUUGAAGACCGUCGAAUGCAGAAAAGCAGAUAUUAUGACAUUGGUUUCAUUAACCCAAAUAUCAUACAUGAAUGGACGGUCAAACACAAUGUUGCAGAAAUCGAGGACAACUUGCUACAAUCAUUGCUUAAAAAACAAAGCAAAGAUAAAAUACUCUUUCCUUACAACUUCCACUGAGUGUUACUGUCUUGUGUAUAUUCGGUUUCCCUUACUUGAGGUUAAUUAUCAUAUUGUAAUUGAUGAGUUAUGCAUGCAGGUGCAGAUUCGACUUUAUCUUGAUAGAGAUUAAGCUUGAAGAUGGAAUAGUAACUGUCUUAGACUCGAGAAGAAAAGAUCCCCAGGAGUAUGUGGACAUGACUGAUAUGCUUCAGAAGUAAGUUCGAUCGAUCAUUAUCGCACCAUGUCGGCAACUUUGUUCAUUUCCUGAUAUCAAAUAAUUAUUCUCUUUGUCUGGCAGGGUUUGGAAAGACUUCACCGUAAUUACGCUGGGACUGCCAACGGAGCUGCAAUUUAAACACCCGAAAGUAAGUACUAUUAGCUAGUUCUGUGCAUCUCCCAUUGAUUCUAGCUAGUUUCAUCAAUACCAUUUAGCAUACUUGAUUAUCAGUUUGAUUGAACUCUAUUUCUCGUUAAGUGCUUGUGGCAGGAAGCCGGAAAUGAUUUUUGUGGAUACAACGUUUGCGAGUUCAUCUACAACUCGACGACCUCUAAGCGGGACUACUCUGAAAAACAAUAUGAUGUACGUAAACAAAAGAAUUCACAAUUUUAUUUUAUUACCAUAAUUUGUGUUGAAUUUCAUUCAUAUAUAUGUAUUGACCCACUUCUUUAAAUUAGAUGUGGCAGAUGCGGGAUGAACUCCUAGGACAUGAUCGCAUACGAGCUAUUCAAGAGGAAUUGGCGGGAUUCUUUCUUGAUCACGUCAUAAAUAAAGCCGGAGAAUACCAUGUAGAAGUUCAAAUAGACCUUAGAUGAUAGGGUUUGUAAGAGAUCUUAUAUUGUAUAUAUGUAGCUAGUAGCGUUGGAUAGAUAUACGAAAACUUGUUGUUCGACCAAUCUCUCGGAGAAUGAGAGGCCACUUCUCUCUGUAUAUGUUCAUGACGAUCUUGUGUACUUAAUGGUUCCUUCAUUUGCUUACUAGCCAGUGUGUCGAGUUCUUUCUAUACGCAUAGUAGCUAGCGCCGACCAAGCACGGAGAUAAAGAGAGGUCACUUCUCUCUAUUAGCUAGCUAACACAAUAUAUGAAACCCCUAAAUUAACCCUCCUAAAUCCCGGCCCCUACCCCCCCCCCCCUUAAAAAACAAAAACCGCGGCUCCUGCCAUAUGCUGAUGCGUGGAUGCCUUUUGGUCCUGAUUAAUAUUACCAACCGGGACUAAAGAUCCUCCUGCAUGGGCGCCCCGCAGCGGCCACAUGGAGCCCUUUCUGUCCUGGUUCAUAAGCGAACCGGGACUAAAGGUUUUGGACUUUAGUCCCGGUUCAGAAACGGGGCUAAUGGGCCUUUUGAACCGGGACAAAUGACACGUUUUCUACUAGUGAUCAUUGGGAGGAAAAAACCGAGGGAGAAGGAGGGAGGAGGUGACGAGAUGGUACCAACUCCCCUUUAAUAUUAGGCACUAGUAGACUACCCGUGCGUUUCCAAGGGCCAACAAAUAAAUUUGCAAAAAAUGCUCAUAUUACUCUCCCCAAAUGAAAACAUUGCACGCAAUGUUCUACCACAACUCAAAGGCAAGUAUCUUCUUUCUAUUCCAACAAAUGGCAUGCACCCCUUUAGCCUCUUUUUUAUGUUGAAGGUGUUUUCCCUAGCCCUCUUUGUCCAUACAUCAACCAUCCUCUCAAUCUAUUGCCCCUUGACUCUGCAUGUUGCUUCUAUGUCGUUGUUUUGUUGUCUCUCUCUACUACGUAUGUCGUGCAACGUGGAACAUGGUCAACAAAUGAUGAGAUACAAGGCACCUCACCUUAGUACAAAUCAUAAGAAAAUGUGGCAUAUGAAGAUGAAAUCCUUAUCUCCACCACAUGUUCAUUCACAAACUAAUAAUGCUAUAUUUAUCUCUAGGCUAUGCUUCCAUCUCCACCUAAGAUGCAUCACCGUCACUUUAUCUCACCAAUACUUAUUUUCCUAUGGACCUCAAAUAUACAUACAAGAAUCGCACGACAAGGUUGCAUCAUUGUCAUUCCAUCUCUUCUUUCACUUAAGAUCUUUUGGUCAUUGCAACACUAGUAUGCUCCGUUGUCACCCUGCUCUGAAUCUGCCCGUGUUUCCAUCGAGCUCCAAAUACAGCCAUUUUUUCUCCAAGUCUUUCAUGUCGUAUCAAGUUUGUACUUUCAGCCUCAGAAUUUUCAUUGUUCGGAAUGAGGAGGGUUUUCAUAGUUCACUUCUCUGAGAGAACACAAAGCAAAUUGAUACAGAUUAGUGAUGAAUAAAAAUUUCUUUGUGCUAUUUAUAAUGAUGAAUACCAACAUAUGCUAAGUUAUUCAAUGGACUAGCUACAUUGUUGUGUUUGAAAAAAUAAGUCUAACAUGUGUAUAUUGAAGCAAAUCCCUGAAUUAGCAAACGCAAGAGGAAAAGAUGACUAGUCCCUCUAGACGAAUGCACGGGGCAUCCAUAGGUUCCUAGAUCAUCAAGUUGACCAACACAUUAUGCAACACAAAAACUAUGUGUUUAGGAAUUUUAUCCCAAUACAAAUUCAGCGUCUAUUGCCUGCACCUUAGUCGCUCAAAUCGUUGCCCCCCUUAUAAUGGGCCUUGCUAAUAAGCUAGGUUAUGGGUCCUUCCUCUUCAACCUGCUCACAAGGAGAGCUUUCUCUCUAUUUAUAUAGGUGUUAGUUAGUUUGCUAGCUAUCGUCUAGGGAUUCAUCACGAUUAGAGGACCUUGUGAUUUAAGGGGAAUGUGUCUCCCUAUAACCGCAAGAACCUUAACAUAGUGUGUUCGUCCUUAUAUCCUCUCGGAUUCCCACUUGGGUGUAGUGGGACAUGGGACCCGAGAUUCUCGGAACUCGUUCUUAAGAAGAAAAGGGUUGAAUUGCCCGCAACAUGUCCCUCGUGCAAUCAGAUACUCAUGCUCACCGACAUAGUUUAUAAGGACAUGACAUUAAAAUUUAGAAACUAUACAUGCAUUUAGUAUGUAUCGUCCCACCUCCUCUCUCCCUUUCGGCAAUUUCGGCGGCAGCCGGAGGAGAGGGGACCCAUAGCUUCAUACUAAUUUAGUUCAAGUUCUAGUAGGUUGUAGAUUCCUCUUUGUUUUGGUUACCUCAUUACCCCGGAGGGCGGCUCCAGCGCACAAGUGCCACGAUGCGUUUUGGCGGAUGGAACGUGUUGCCGGCGGUCGGAUGUCGCCGGGUCAUCGGCAGAUACAGCGACGUGGUGGCAUGAUGGCCGAGCUGAAGGGGCACCGGCCUUGGCACGGCAAGAGUCGCCAUAGCCGGCCCGCGACCAGCAAGGAGAGGCUGCGUUUAGCUUAGCUAGAGAGGUGAUCAGGAGGAACAGAGAUAAGAGAGUCGAUCAGGAGGAGAGGUUUACAGAUCGAGAUUCUCAUGCAUUAAUCUACUCUGUAUAUAUGGACAUGUUUACGAAACAAGAAGGUAGAGAAAGGACUCAGCUUGCAAGCCACGCGCUUGAAUCCGAUCGAUUGUGAUCAAGGAUAGGUUUACGAAAUGAGGUCGACCAAGGAUCGGAAAACUAAGGGCCAACUCCACCGCGCGACCCCAUCCUGUCCGCGCGCGUCCGUUUAGGGUAAAACGGACGAACCGGACGGCUCUGUGCGCGAGAGCAAACGGACUUUUGUCAGUUUUGUGUCCGCUUUCGACCCAUCCCCGGCCCAAGUUUGCGGCGUUUUUUGGGUGAAACGGACACCUUUUCUAUCCGCCCCCCUCCCUCCCUCCGGCCGCAUCCCCUCCGCUCUUCUCCACUCUUCCCCACUCUUCCCCUCGCCGCCGCCGUCGUCGCUGCCAUUGCAGCCGUGCAGCUCGGACGCGCGCUCACCCAGCCCCUUCCCCUCGGUGCCGCCGAGCUACCCAACCACGGCCACCUAAUUUGUGCACCCGCCGGCCGGAUUCGGGGCAGAUCCGGUUGGUCUUGAGCUCGCCCGGCUGUGGGAUGCCGCGUCGCGCAAUGGACUGGCCAGGCACCUCGCCGGAAGGCCCUGGCAGGGCCGCAAGGCCACAUGCAGGCAGUGGCUCCUCCUCUAGCAGCUCGGAUCUACACCGUCAGUGGUCCGCCGACAGAUACACGAAUGGCGGUCGGCCGGGCUCGGUGCUUGCCCAAAAGCUCGUCGGCGCAUUGUUGCCGCUCAUUAAGUCCGACUACUGCCCAAAGAAGAUCGUGCGCCGCGUGUCUACAACGCCGGAACAUCCCGGAUGGGUAUUCAUCAAGUGCUUAAACGAUGUGGUAUGUGCUCUUUUUAGCUUCGGUUUGUGCUCUAGAUUUGACUAGUUGUGCUAACUUACAAUUUUAUUGUAUAGCAUGGAUGCAAGUUUUGGUAUUGGAAAGAAGAGUACAUCGAUAUAUUGAUAGAGCGCAAUUUAGUAGAUGUUCGUGCAUUUUUAGCUAGCAUAGAGGUUGUAGAUGAGGUAAGUGCACUUGUUGCUAGAUUAGAGGCUAGACACGAGACUAGGUGUGAGGAAGCAACAUCGACUUCUUUAGACUCGAAGAAGAAAGAAGCAUGCAUGAUCAAGCCUCCUCCGUCGAUCAACAAUGAGUGCAUCAAGAAGGCACUAAUCCAACUUACAGGAGCAGUUAUAGAAGUUGGAUAUCUUCUAAAUUGUAUUCUUGUGGUUCUUCUUUUCUUUGGUCUUACUUUUCUAGUCAAAAUUUGGUGAUGUAUUUCCAUAUACCAAAAGUGAAUGAUGAAAAGAAGUUAAGGGCUUGCAAAGAAAAAUGUAUGCGGACAGGAUGCGUCCGCACGCUGGGCGCACGGUCACUGUAUCCCAGAAACUGCCUGGACAUGACUCCAUUGCCCUACCCAAACGGACAGAAUCCGGGCAAAACAGACGUCCGUUUUGGAUCGCGUGGUGGAGUUGGCCUAACAUGUAGCAAAUUCGGACAUGCAUGCAUGCAUUUUACUCCUAGCUUGCUCCGACUCACUGCCGUAAAACUAACAUGUAGUAGCGAAUUCGGGCAUGCAUGCAUACAUUUAACCCACGUGUGCAAUCCUUGCCAAAGGGCAUCUCUAACAUUGAUCUGUAAAUUUGCUUUCGCAUCCAUUAGGUUGACCAUGGACACGGUUGCGUGAGACGGUCAUGCAACACCGCCCGCAUACAUUACAAAAUUUAUGCAAACAUGAUGGAUUUUCAUAUAAAUCGAACGAAAUUUAUUACAAUUCCAACAUUUUUCAUUAAAAAAGCCAUUGAAACCUACACACUAGUAGAAAAAGGGCCUAUUGUCCCGGUUGGUAAGGGCUUUUAGUCCCGGUUGGUGAACCAGGACUAAAGGGUCGGUACUAAUGCCUCCCCCCUUUAGUCCUGGUUCAAUCCAGAACCGGGACUAAAGGCCGCGGCCACGUGGAGCCUUUAACAAUCCACCUUUAGUCCCGGUUUGUAACACCAACCGGGACUAAUGGAAAUUUUAUGAUUUUUUUUUUUGAAAUUUUUUUUUGAAAUUUUUUAUUUUCAAAUUUCUGAAUUAUUUUAACCCCUCAUUAGUGAAUCUCUAAUCAGCACCCCUCAUCACUGCUCAAUUUAUCCUCUUCUCUAAUCACCCUCAUCAUUCCAAAUCACCUAACUUCCCGAACGGUCACCCAUCCUCCCACUCACCCAGCCUGAGCACGCUUAACUUCCAGGUUCUAUUAUCCCUCGUUUCCAAGUCUGCACUUGUUAUUUUCCUGACAAUAGUAACAUGUUAAUCCUAUUAACCCUCAGGAAUUUUGCUUGAGAAUGAAUUGACACAUUUCACUGUUUGAGUUUCAAACUAUUGUUUUCAAAAACAAUAAUUAUUUAGAAAACAAUAGUUAUUUUGAAUAAUUAGUUUGACCAGGGUUUGACCAUAGUUUGACCACAGUUUGACUACAGUUUGACCAGAUUUGACCAAAAUUCAAAAUAACUGAACAAAUUAGUUAUUAACACUAAUAUUCUAGAAUAAUUAGUUUGACCAUGGUUUGACCAUGGUUUGACCACAGUUUGUCAUUUUUCCGAUUUUUUCCACUCUAGAUAUUAAAAGCCCCGUAACUUUUUUUCUGUUAGGUUUUUGAGGAUUUUGAAAAUGUUUAACUUUUUUUCUGUUAAAUUUGGUUGUAACUUUUCGAGUAGAUGAUUUUUCAUAUAAAAAACUUUUUCAUCCGAGUUAGUAUGCAAAAGUUAUGCCCAUAUUUACAAAUUCCACAGAGAUUUUGCAAAUAAAGUCGAAAUUCACAUUUGCAAAUUUCCGCAACAACUAGACCACAUAUCACAUGGGAAACUUAUUUUCUUUUAUUUUUUUGACAUUUCCAUCAUUUUCUUUUAUUUUUUUUNNNNNNNNNNNNNNNNNNNNNNNNNNNNNNNNNNNNNNNNNNNNNNNNNNNNNNNNNNNNNNNNNNNNNNNNNNNNNNNNNNNNNNNNNNNNNNNNNNNNNNNNNNNNNNNNNNNNNNNNNNNNNNNNNNNNNNNNNNNNNNNNNNNNNNNNNNNNNNNNNNNNNNNNNNNNNNNNNNNNNNNNNNNNNNNNNNNNNNNNNNNNNNNNNNNNNNNNNNNNNNNNNNNNNNNNNNNNNNNNNNNNNNNNNNGGGGGGGUAGAGUUUGAAAAUGGGACCUUUAGUACCGGUUCGUGGCACGAACCGGGACUAAAGGUCUCAACCCCAUUAGUCCCGGUUCGUGCCUCAAACCGGGACUAAAGGUCUACUCUUUAGUCCCGGUUUGAGGCAUGAACCGGGACUAAUGGGCAUCGCACCCUUUAGUCCCGGUUUGAGGCACAAACCGGGACUAAAGGGCACAGGUGAACCGGGACUAAUGCCUUAGCCGCACGAACCGGGAUAAAUGCUCACAUUAGUCCCGGUUCUGGAUUGAACCGGGACUAAUGGGCUAAACAGGCCUGGACGAAAGCUCUGUUUUCUACUAGUGACACCUAUAUCCUACGUCGGUGCCCCUUGUCCACUUCUUUUGUAUUCCACAUAGGUGACCGCGUCCUCCAUCUAUCGUCUUCAUGAACAGUGGCGGGGUUCAAGACCCGUGAAGUGGUGGUGCAGUCUCCGGUGAGGAAGAGUAGAAAAUGGGAGACGGAUCGACACAAUUGGGACACAAUGUCAUGCCGCCUCAAAUGCUCUACUCAGACACAGAGAAGUCUAUGACAUGUCUGUCGCGGGCACCUGUGGACCUGAGGUCGAUGAUGGACAUGGAAGGUCCGUCAAUGUCCACCUGUCACAUGCGCCCCCGAAAGUUGGACGGCGGCACGUAGGACGCGCAGCUGGCGGCGAUGGAGUCUUGGACCACCUACGCUGCCAGCACGUGUGCGGCCCCGUCCGCAUCCGGCUGCUCCGGCUCUAUGUUGCAACCAGCAACUUGAGCACCCUCGGCCCUCAUAGAGCGCCCCCUGCUCCGCAAUGAAGUUUGCGUUCGCCGUAGCCAUGGCAGCCAUGGCUGCCUCGCUUGAGCGCUUGUCGUAUGGACCUACGCCGGUCGAUGCUGCACGAGGAGGGACAUGUUGUACCUCUGCUCCUCCUGCGCCUGCCAGAACACCGACAUAGGAGUCGAUGCAGGCUGCUCCUCCUACGCCAUGGCGGCGUCCUAGUGCGCCCGCACCAGCUCCAUGGUCUAGCCGGCAUGCAUUGGCGCGGGCUCCGGUGUUGUGUUAUCGUCAGAUCCCGUAGGCUCAUCGUGGGAGACCUCGGGCGAACUUGGCGGCAUACCGUACUCGAUCUGCCUAGCGCGGCGCAUCUGCCAGGCGGCUGCAAGGGCAGUCACCUUGUGCUUCUGCUCCGAUGACAGUCUCCCCCACAUCGCGCUAGAGCUUGUGGUCAUCGUGGACGCGGUGCAAGGGAGGACGAUGUGGAGCGGAAGUAGUGCGGUGUGGAAUUUAGCCGAGUGUGACCCUCUUUAAAUAGUGGAUUCCAGUCAGGCCAAGCAUCUGGGUGCAUCAAUGCACGGCAUCGGAGUUGGUUCCUUGGCCGGCGAGCCAGCUUAAUGGCAACAUAUGAACAGGCGGGCAUUGGACGGGCGUGGUAGAUAUCCGCCCUGUCUUGUACAACAAACAUCGCUCCGACAUUGAACAGGCGCAAACCCACUUCAAUGUUGGUGCCAGCGGAAGGUCGCGUCCACUGUGGGUCGGCGACAUUGCAGAGCGCCGCUCUACAGCGGCAUGAAUUCAGGCAGUUGGCGCCGGAUGGAAACACACGCGAGCGAGGGAGGACGGUUUUGUGUGAGCCAGGGUAGUAAGGAGCGGGCGUGCCAGUGGUCCGGAAGACCCCCCCCCCCCGUCCAGUUCACGGAAAAAAGUGCGCCCGGACUGAUCCGUGGACCGAUACAGAACCGCGUUGAAUGGCAUAAUACGUCUGUACCGUGCGGUCUAGAUGUUUGCAGGCAGCUUGAUGGUGGGCGUUGAAGAUGCCCUAAACCCACAUAGGGCUGGACCAAAAGUUGGUAGCUCAUGAGUUUAAUGAGAGCUCGAUAGUUCGGCUCGUUAAUUAAGCUCGGAGCUCGCUUCUUAAUGAACAGAGCCAAUCAUCGAUUUCAGCUUGUUAAGAUUAUUGAGCUUAACGAACGAGCUAUCGAGUUUCAUGAGUAGCUCAUUAAGCUCGUUAGUAACAACACAACACUUAUUUUUAUCGUAUGUGACAAAAAAUUUGUAGCAGCUCAGCCAAUUAUUCAAUCUAAUAUAUAUAAGAGGCAACAAAGUAGUGCAUUUUGUUUUGUAGGCACUAUAUUCCUUUUAAAAAACACAUCUACACACUCGUCGUGUAGACCAUAACACAUCAGAAUCUGUUAACGAGCACUCACGAGCUUAACGAGUUUCCAACGAAACGAGCCGAGCAGGAUUUUCUGCGCGUUAAUCUUAAUGAGCCUAACGAGCCGAGCCUUAACGAGCACGAGCUUAACGAGCCGAGGAACUCAUUAAUCCACACCUAAACCCACACAAGGGGUGCUUUCCUUGGACUUCUACAAAACUACUAACUCUUGUAUGAUUGGAACACUAUCAGAAGCACCCCAAACUAUGAGUCAUAACCAAAUUUCGCUCGACAUGCUUGAUACUCCAUUCCUUUGAUGGUAUGAAACUAUAUUAGAAUGUCCAAGAACUAUCAGGUUAUGACUAUAGGCGAAAGGGGCUGCCACAGUGGCACACAGGAGGUGGAAAGUGCUACAGCGUUAUGAGCUUAUCGCUGGUAUUAUAGGACAAAGUGCAUUAAAUGCGGGGCUUAGGUGUCCCUCCACUUUGUCGGGGACGGGGGUGAGGCCCGUCCCGUCCGUUGCCGCCACUCCUGGCUUUGACACGCGCCCUGGCCAGCGAUGCAUGCAGUGCCAUGUAGGCAGGCAGACAGCUGAGGUGGCGCGGUGGUGGAGCCUCCACAAAGGGCUGCAUGUUGCCACUCAGGUUCCUACCCAGUUGGUUGGGUUGGCAGCUGCAUGCGAACAGCAGCGACAGAGACUUGCUGGCGCGGGCCUGGCAGUGGCCCUGCUGGCGCGCCUGGCGAGGGUCUUGCCGGGUGGACCGGCAAGGAUCCUGCCGCGGCACGCCGUCGUCCCCGGCAAGGAUCUUGCCGGGGGUCUCGUGGGCUUCCUCGGCAAGAACCUUACUGAGGAUUGUUGCCUUCCUAUUCUCAUUUGAUCUUGACUGUUCUUUUUCUUUGCAAAGAUCUAUAUGCCACCAUGGGGGUGCCUCCCGAUCCCUGUCCCAAUGCGUUUCCUUAGCGUUGGUGGGCUCGAAGGUGGCUCGCUCAGCUAGUGUGGACGAGCUGCCCCGGCAAGGGUCUUGCCGGGGCCGCUGAGGCUGCCCUCGGCAAGGGUCCUUGCCGGGGCAACCUGCGUUGCCCGUGUGACCUUUGUGGCCUUGGUCCUUGAUAUUGCUUUGUUUGUCUUGUGCCUUCGGCUUCUCUCGGGCUUCCCGCUCAUGCCCUAUUUUUGUGUGGCCAUGGCAGGUGGCUCUGACUGCCCGUGCACAAGUAAAGGGGUCAAAAGCAGAGCCCCUACUUUUGUACACCGACAGGAGCCCCCGGGCCUGGUCCAUACAUAAGUGCAGAACGUUGUUGGGCCACGCCCAGAAUGGUGCGCUGGCAGUUGGGGCACAUUUUUACCGUGGUAACUGCUCCGUCCGCUACGCUUCCCCCCAUGACCUGCGUUGGAUGCGCGACGUGGGGGUCAUGCGUGCGUGACGUGGGGGGCAUGCAUAGGAUAGCGACCGCAAGCAUGUGUCAUGUCACAGUUAAUGGGAAAGGAGGCGGCCCGCGCCUUCCCCAUAAAAAGGAAUAACCGCGGGCGUGCUGCUCACUUUUCCCCUUCCCUGCGCCUUCCCCAAUCUUGAAACUGCCGCCUCCUUUCUUCCUACUCGAGCCCCCUGCUUCCGCUCAUCGUCGACGCGCUUCCGCCAUCCCCUUCACUCUGCGUCUCACAACCGCAAUGGCGCCCAAAUCUACCAAAGGAAAGGGGGUAGCCAGAGAUGCCGGCGCGGCGGAGCCGUCGGAGAGUGAGCUGGUGGCGCGAUGGGCGUAGUUCACCCUCUUUCCCUCGACGGUCGACGUGCCCGUGCUCCGGGAGUACUACAAGCUUCUGUGGGGCGUGAAGACGGGGGAAGAAACGACGGGGCAUCCAGCCACGCGCGUCGUCCCUGCCAGUGCCGGGCCCGCCCCAAACCGGUACCCUUUCUUCGUCAACCACUUCUCUUGCGGGCUUUGUCCCCCUUUCUCUGAUUUCUUCAAGGACGUCAUGCACACCUUCGUCUUCCACCUUCUGGAUUUUACCCCAAAUGUCGUGGCGUGCAUGGCCCUUUUCGCACACCUCUGCGAGGGCUUUGUCGGGGUGCAUCCCAACACGACGCUCUUCUGCCACUACUUUUCCCCUCGGAUCCAAAAGGUAGGCGCCAUCACCGGCAGCGUUGCUUGGAUCCCAAGGGCCAAGGGAGCAUACCCGUACGGUGCCAUGAAGGAGAGGUGGGAAGAGUGGCGGGGUCGGUGGUACUUUAUAGAGGAAGAGAACCUGCCGGCGUUCUACGAGGUCCGUCGGGUGCCGCCGGUCCACGGAAAGGACUGGGGCGACGUCGAUGUUGACGAUGAGAAGCUCACGAUCGCCACCACCAGGAUCCUCCGGCUUACCCAGGCCGGGCUCACCCUCGAGAUGAUCGGCACGGACUUCAUCCGCCACCGGAUCGCUCCUUUCCAUGACAAGGGGAGGCCGACCUGGCUUUUUGUGAAUGUUGCUGAUAUCAUGAGGCUCCGCCCCGGCCUUGACCAGAAUCUGACGGUGCUGAGGCACGCCCAUCUCUGCCAGCGGAUUUUCCAGCUCAAGGUGAAUGAAGAAGGCGAGGUCGAGUAGUCCGGCAAGGUGGCAAGGGCUGCCGUGAAGGCCGGCAAGGUGGACAAGGAGCCUGUCUUCAAGUUACGGGUGGGAGUGGUCCCGCUUAGCAACAACUCUUGCCGGUCGGAGAUCAUCGCCAUGAUGCUGCUUUUCAACGUACAUGGCCUUGACCCGAGCUGGGUCGCGCCUGAGGAGCUCAAGGUGCAGGAGUUCUUCAACACCUUGCACGAGGCGUACAUCACCGCCGAGCCGUGGCUCGUCCAGGACACUUCUCAGGAGGAGUUGGACUUCAUCGCCGCCAGGGUGCGGGAGGCAAGGCUCACUGAGGAGUCGGCAAAGCUUUCCGAGGAGGCCGGCAACGCUGGCGUCACAGUGGACAGCGCCGCGGUGGAGGCGGAGAAGGAGGACCUUGCCCGGUGGGCAGCGGCCGCUUGAGAGGCCAGCGGCGCCAACGCCAGGGCCCUCCUCGUCGAGGAUGCCGUUGACGGGCCUUCGGAGGAGGACGAAGAGGAGGAGCUCGCGGCCUCCGACCCUCCUGCCACUGGGAGGGGACGAAUUCUGCGGCGAGCAGGUUCUCCCUGGCCGGGACGCGCAGCUGCGACUGGCUCAGGGAGCGGCGACGCGCCAGACGAGGGCCGCGGUGACGAAGAAAAUGGCGGAGGCCGAGGCAGCAAGGAGGAAGACAUCUGCUUCCUCGUCGUCCAGGCAUGCCCAGACGCCACCGCCCUCCCCGCCUCUGGCAGAUGUUGGCGCGGGGGCCGCCUUUGACUUCGGGCCCCUCAGCCCGGAGAGAGACUCUAGGCUGCUCAGCCCGGAGAGAAAAAGGAAAGCAACAGAGGAGGAGGAAGAAAAUGAAGAGUAAGCUUCUGCUUUCCUCCCUCAUUUCUUACACUUCCGCUGACAGUGUUGCUCACUUGCCUUCAUCUUGCAUGGAUGUGGAGACGCUGGCCCAGAGGAUGAAGAGGGCCAGGACUUUGGCGAGUGGCCAGCCCCCGGCAGGCACCUCUGGCAUGCCAGUGGUGGUGUCAAGCAGCCCGGACAGCAGCCCUCGGCCCAGCCCAGAGCGUGAGUCCGUCACCCACCCUCCAUCAGCGUGCGUCAUGCGCGAUGAUUCGGUGCUAACCAUGCCGUGGAUGCAGGGGGGAGCAGCACCAAGGGGAGCCACAAAGGGCUUCUCCUAUCGUGCCACCUCCGUCAAUCACACCGCCCUGAGGGGCGUCCCCGGCAAGGGCACCAAGCCCAGAGGCCAUGCACAUGGAGGAGGGGGAGGAGAACACAGGCGCCGGACCUUGGCGGAGAAGGGGCUUCCGCCUCUCGGCCUGGGGCGGGUAAGCCAUUUGCUCUCCGUCUCCACAUGCAUCUUUUCUUCUUUUGCUCUCUUUUUUUUCUUUGCUUUGAUGUCGAUUUUGUCUUGUUUCCUUCUUGGCAUCCAGAUUUCUCCUCGGUGGAUCCAGAGGACGUUGACACCGUGGUCAAGGACGUCACUGAGGACGCUGCGAUGUAGGCUGAGAAAAUUGCUGCCGAGGAGAACACAACGGGUGCCGCUGAAGACGCCGCCAAGGGGGCCGCUGAAGAGCCCUGCAAGGAGCAUGUUGAGGAUCCCGGCAAGGGCCUGCCGAAGAUGCCGACAAGGCCGCUGCCAAGGAGGCGGCGGUCGAUGACCAGCCCUCCUCCUCUGCUGCCUCCGGCUCCGGCAGGUACCUGAAGGUGAGCGAGGACCUCUUCGUCCAUCUCCCAGGCGCGUCAAGCUCUAGGGCCCCCAUCAAGGGGCAGAUGCUCGACGGUGAGGUGCUUGCCGCCGCCGGGCUUGACGUUGUCGAUGAGCCGAGCAUCGACGGUGAUGGCUCCCAGGAGGAGCGGCUCCUCCGGGCCAUGGGUGCCAGCUUUCGGAAGCUCCAGGCCCUCCACCGCGCUCACCUGGACAAGGCCAAGUCCAAGGCGGCGGUGGUGGAGAAAGUGGAGGCAGACUUCGAAGGGUGCGUCGCCGAAGCGCAAGACUGUUGGCGCCAGGCUCAGGACGAGCUGAAGGCCACUCAGAGCGAGCUAGCCAAGCGCGAUGUGGAGCUCACCAUGAAGCUGGCCGACAUCGAGAAAGCCCAGGAGACGGCGAGGAUCAUCGCUGUCGGAGCCGAGGCGGCCCGGUCCCAGCGCGAAGCCGCACUGAACUCCCAGGAGGAGGACCUUGUCGCGCGCGAGGAGAAGCUUGCCGCCACGCUCCGCGGAAAGGAUGAAGAGGUGGGCCAGCUCGUCACGCAGCGGACACAGGAGCUGGAGCAGAGGCAUCAGGAAGCACUCAAUGCCCAGGCUCAGGUCUACGCUGGCAAGGUGAAGGAGCUGGAGGAGCAAGCCUUGAAGCUAUCCGAGGAGAAGGACAUGCUCAAAGGGACCCUGGUGGAGGCGCAGGGCGCGGUCAUCAGCAAGGCCGGACAGCUCUCCGACGCCAACAACUCCAUCAGAGACCUCCUCCUGAAGCUGGGGGAUCUCGAGAAGAUGCUGUCGGAGGCCAGGACCCGAGAGGAGAUCCUGACCAAGGACCUGGCAACGGAGAUGCAACUGCGGAUGAACGAGACUGCCAGCCUCAAUGACCAAGUGGCGGGCGAGAAGCACUGGCUCGAACGCCUUGCCGCUGUUGUGGAUUCGGCCGCCACUCAGUUGGCCAUCAUGGGGGUGUCGGGCAUGGGGUACACCCCGGAGGUGAACCUGAGUCCCAACGCCAACCUGACCAUAUACUUUGAGAGGGUCGUUGGCGCCCUGAAGCGGCUUCACUCCAACUGGGCGGCUUCCCUGGCCGAGCAGUCGUGGAUUCUCUGCCGGGGGGCCAUGACCAGGGUGCUCGUCAAGAUAGCGCAUUGGCAUCCCAACCUUGAUUUCGGAGCGGUGCUGAAGAGCUUGCCAGAGGAUGUUGCCAUCGCAGCGCUCAAUGAGCGUAUCCAGCCCAUCCUCAGCCGCAUCGACAAAAUCAAGAGGAUGGAGGGCCAGCGCCGGGACUAAGCACCCCGUUCUUUAUCGCCGCUACAGGUUCAUGACCAAGAAAAGGCUAUCUUUAGUUAGAACUGCGGCGGCAAUUUAUGUAAUAUAACUCUGCAAUAUUCCUGAAAUUAUGCAUGUUAUUUUCCUGUUCGAUUUUCCCUUGUAGGUAUGCCCCAUGUUGACUGGGUAGUCUUGCCGGCGCGUAAACCCAGGGCGGCGUCUUGAGGAUGGAUCCUCAUUAGCAUGCCGGGUGCGCUUGCUGCCGGGCAAAGAACCUUACCGCCCUUAGCGCGGCCGCUCGACAUGUCGAGCUUGACUCGAGUCAGAGCCGAGAGCAUAGCUGAUGGAGAAAGGCUACCCUGCGCUCUCGACGCAGCCGCUCGAACUGUUGAGCAGACUCAAAACAUAACAAGGGCGUUGCCAAUCGCAGGAGGGCCCCUCUGCAUGCAGGGUUUCCAUACAUUGCGCCCCCUACCUGGCGCGCCAAAGAUGUCGGUGGGAAAUGACACCUAUGGGAUCACAAGAAUACCAACUACGGUUCGGGCCGCAAAGAUGCGUAAAACCCUACGAUCCUGCUUUGGUGGAUGUAUUUAGUGUUCUUGAGCUCCUGAACUAGCUCUGCGUGUUGCCAGGUUCCAAAGAGCCGAAUCCCUCUUCGGUGCGCCAUGGGCCUCCUUUUAUAGGCGAAAGGGGCUACCACAGUGGCACACAGGAGGUGGAAAGUGCUACAGCGUUAUGAGCUUAUCGCUGGUAUUACAGGACAAAGUGCAUUAAAUGCGGGGCUUAGGUGUCCCUCCACUUUAUCGGGGACGGGGGUGAGGCAUGUCCCAUCCGUCGCCGCCCCUCCUGGCUUUUACACGCGCCCUGGCCAGCGAUGCAUGCAGUGCCAUGUAGGCAGGCAGGCAGCUGAGGUGGCGCGGUGGUGGAGCCUCCACGAAGGGCUGCAUCUUGCCACGCACGUGCGUGCCUAGUUGGUUGGGUUGGUAGCUGCAUGCAAAUGGCGGCUGCGGAGACUUGCUGGCGCGGGCCUGGCAGUGGCCCUACUGGCGCGCCAGGCGAUGGUCUUGCCGGGUGGCCCAGAAAGGAUCCUGCCGCGGCAUGCCGUCGUCCCCGGCAAGGAUCUUGCCGGGGGCACUACUAGGAAAAGGCAUGCUAGUGGCGCACCGAAUUUGCCUUCUAAUGGCGUACUACUGGUGCGCCACUGGCAUCACGCCAUUAGAAUUAAAUUUUAAUGGCGCACUACUGGUGCUCCAUUAGUAUCUGGUGUUCUAAUGGCGCACCGCGUAGUGCGCCAUUAGUAUAGCCUGCAGUGCGCCAUUAGAAUGCCUCCCAGGGGCCAUAUGUACAAAUGUGCUUUGGCAUUCUAAUGGCGCACCAGCAGCUAAUGCGCCAUUAGUGUGAUGAUCACAGUGCGCCAUUAGUGUCUUGUGUGGUGCGCCAUUAGUAUGAAUAUUAGGUUUUAUUUUUUUUGCUUUUCUGAUUUUUGCACAGGUUACAAAAUAUAUUAUUGCAUAGAAUAUAGACAGCAGCACACAGCAACAUCAGAUUCAUCAAAUACAAUAGAAGAUUAGUCUCCGAAUACAAUUCAUCAUAUUAGUCUCCGGAUUCAAAAGACCGGACAAAGACAAAACAUUACAAGUCUCAAGACCGCGAGUAUCGAGUUUGCCUUCACAUUACAAGUCGAUAUCGAUCAUCUAAACUACCAUCACAUAGAAGAGAGCUGUGGUCAUCACGAUGAGCAUCAUCGCGAUCAAACUGGUCUUCAUCCGGUUCCUCCAACGCUCCCUCCUCUCUCCCGCUAGAUAGCGGGCGUAUCUAGAUUCGGCCUCCGCCCUAGUGGUGUACCCUUUGUAACUGUUACCGCUGAAACGGUGAACCUGUCUCCGACACUCCUCCCAGUCAUCGUAGACUCCGGGAACCUUACCCUUGUACACGACAUACGACGGCAUCUCUAUGCACAAGCCAAACAAUAGAUAAUACAUAAGCAAUGUGUAAGUAUGCAACAAAAGGAUCGGAAGAGAAAAGCAAGACAUUAAUAGCACGAUUCAUGGUCCUACUAAUAAAUAGCAUCGAUUACAUCUAAGUUGAACAACCGUCCAAACCAAAGAGACAUCCGAAUUCAUUAAAGUUUAAUUACAACAUGAGCCAAUCAAUGUUUCAGAACUACACAUCACUACUUUCGACUCAACUCAUCGGACAGGAGCGUGGGUGAAGCCGCCGUCUGUCGUGAUGGUCACGAAAUCACGGUCGUUGUCACCCUGCAUUUGUAGCAUUUCAUCUAUCUCACUGUUGGACGGUUGAUAUCUGAGGAAGAACUGCCCCGCGGUAUGAAGGACAUCUUGAUGGAUGAUGUCCGCAAACUCCGACUGGAUGCGAAAGAAUUCUUGUCUGAGGUCCGCGUCCUGGACUGCCGACAAGCUCGCGGCCCAAUCUUUGAGAUUAUCUGGUAGCAGAAGGUGAUGAUGGUCCCUUACGAUCGCCCGCAUGUGAUGGAGGGCGUAGUAGGCAUCCUUCUGACCGCCAGGCGGCUGCUUGACGCAGCAGAACUUCGUAUUGUGUGAGAAGAUGUGCUUGACGUACUUACGAACUGGCCUGGUGAAGGUGCCUCCAGAUUGGGCAUAGCCGGGGAGAACAUCAUCAAGAACUUUCUUCACAUUUGUGUAGUCUAUCAUGGAGUUACGGUUCGGGUCGAAAUACGUGGCCAUGGAAUAUUUCGGGCUUAAGAGGAUGAGUGUGCAAUGUGUGUCACUGCACAGAACACGGAAUGUUAGAAAAAAAGAACGAUCGAAAUCUAAGAAAUCAUAUGUUACGGGGCGGUUAAGGGAUGACUUACUCGGGAAAGUAAGGCACAAGGAAGUUAUCCUAAUCUGCGUUUGCCAGAAUGACGCCUUCGAGGUGUGAACUCGCAAUUUGGCGGUCCCCAGCGCUGCUCAAGUGCUUGGCACGCAUGUAGAAGGGGUAUUGUCUCUAAUGAUCCGCAUCUGCAUGCUCAGCGAAAACAGCCGAACGAAGGUGUAGUGCAACGGAUGAAGGUUAAACAUAGCAAAGAUGUCAUCAAACCGCAGGACGAUCAUACCCCCGAUGUCGCCAUCCACAAAGCCCUUGCUCUCUGGCACCUUGGCCACGAAAACCGGGUAUGCCACAUCCUUCUCUCUGAGACGCCGCUUCUCCAAAAUCAGAACACUGUCGUGCAGACUCCGCAUAGCACCGGUUGCAGCAUUCAGCAUAUUUGGCGGUAGCAUCGCCCUACCCGCCAUAUGCACCCUCCUCGAGAUAUCCUUAGGUGAAGGUGGCCCGUCCUGAGCACGGAUCGAACUCGGUGCCGGCUGGCUCGCACCGGCGCCCUUGUUAGUCUUUUGUUUCCGGCCCUUCUUCUUGAUCUCCUGUAAUGGGACCGAGUUCUGCUCACAGACCGCCUUCUUCAGCGUGUUGGGGCUGAUAAUAUUUCGCGCCUCAGCUAUCUGAGGCUUGGUGAAGGCGGGAGCUGGAGGCGUGUCCUGAGAACUGAACGCCAGACGACGCUUGUUGCAAUUGGAUUUCUCCGCCGUACCAGCUAGAUCGCGGUGGUCUUGGUUGGGUUCUUGAGAAAGAGGCCCGCAGAACUCGUCAGCGUACCCAUGUUCGGCAAAGUACUUAUCAACUUUGGUAAAUGUACCGUCGUCGUUGUCGUCGCCGUCCGGAUCCUGUGCCAUAGGGCUGUCCGGAUCCUGUGCCAUAGGGAUGUCCGGCAGGUCCGGUAGCGUUGCGGCGUUCUUGCCAUGGCUUGGCGCCGGCACGACUGGCGGUCUUGUCUGUGGGGUGGUGUCCCCCGCCCCCAAACGAAUCUGGCUCUUCGGCCAUAGCAGGGGCCAGUUUACGCAGGUGCCGAGGGUCAUCUCAUCUUCUUCGUCGGCCCCAGCGGGUCGAAUCGGAGGUAAUAGCUCGUCGCAGCCUGGCAGCACCUGGACCACUUCAACCCUAUACAUUGUGGUUGGCAUCCGAUUACCGUGGAACAUGGGGUUGCCCGGUUGAACGAUUCUGCCCUUGGCGACAUCGACCAACUCGGCGCCCACGAAGUGCAGAAGAGUGCAAGGAACGUCGGCGGUGCCCUGGAAUAACAUGUAUAGGGCGUCAGGGAUGCCCAGUCAAAGGCAAGGAGAUGAAGUCAUCGGCCGAGAGGCUUAGUUACCGUGAUGCCGUCGAGCUCGGCUAAUGUCGAGGCACCGCCAACGGCGGGCGUGCAACUGACGGAGGGGGCGCUUGCUGGCGAGGUGCCGGUUGGCGUACACCAGGGUGCAUUAAGCUCCAAUGCCCGUGCCGGUGCCGGAGACACGAAUACCGCCUCCGCCGGAGACACCAAUGGCGCCGCCGCCGGAGACACCAAUGGUGCCGCCGCCGGAGACACCAAUGGCGCCGCCGCCGGAGACACCAAUGGCGCCGCCGCCGGAGACACCAAUGGUGCCGCCGCCGCGCUGUGCGAGUUGCUGGCCGUGAAGCUGGGAACCGGGGGAGGCCCCUUUUGGCCGCCCGCAAUCCACGUCGUCAGCCCAUGAAUCAAUGUAGGCACCAUGGCGUUGAGCGUCGUUCCAAGUUGUUGUUGCACUUGCUCAUGGACAAGCUCCGGAAUCCGCGCCACUUGUGCCUUGAGUUCUUCAACCUCGCGCAUCUUGCUUUCCGAGCUGGUCUUUUUCUCCUUCCGCACACCAGCGGUAUAGUAUGACCCCCAUUUUGUGGACAAGCCUUUGCCGGCCACACGACCAGCUGACGUCGGCUUAUCGAGCUUAUCCUUCUUUUUCAUUACGUUCAACGCCCUAUUUAAAGGGGUGUCGAAAGGGGAGCUCUUAGACGACCCCGCGCUACUGCUUUCAUUGUCCUGCGAAAGGAACAUGAACCAUUUAGAAAUAUUGGGGAUUAGUUAGAGUGCAACCAUAUGGAGCUAAUUACGCGGGGGUGUAUUCCUUACCAGAACAAGCUCAAGCGCCCUGGUCUUCGGAUCCGUGGUAAGCUCCUUUGUUAUCGGGUCCUCCUUGUACCGGGCCCUGACAUAGUUCCUGGUCUGCUUGUCACCGCUGUAUUUCUCGAAGCGGGGCGGUAGGCCUUGCUCGGCACGCUCCGCGUCCUCCUUGUCCCAUAUAGGCUCAGCCACUCUAUAACCGCCGGGACCGAGUUUGUGUUCCCCUAAGUUCAACUCCCGCAUUUCUUUCCCCCACUGACUUGAUUCGGAGGUUGCGGGGCUCUGGCACUUGAUCUUGAACUCCUUGUACUCAUCUUCGCUCAUCAAAGGAUAUUUCGCCUUGAUCUUGUCAUAACUGUCACCUUUAUCAAUCAUUCUCUUCACUGCGCUUCUCCAAGUAGACAUGGCCGUGCUCAUCUUCGUGAGGGCGGCAUUGUUCACUUUAUUCCCUGAGAGGCGUGUGUUUUCAAAUUCGGCGGGGAACUUGUAUCGUUCGUGCAGCUUCGUGAAGAGGAGGUUGCGCAAAUUCCCUCGGUCCUUAUGCCUAAGGUUCUCGGUGUUGAUCGAGACGGUGCUCCGGAGAAUGCACCCGAGCUGAACCGAGUACCCCUUGACUAUAUGUUUGGGCUCCGUUGGAUUCCCGUCGGAGUCCACUUGAGUGAAUUCCUCCUUGACGGUGCGGAGCGCAUUCGGGCGCCGGUCCUUCCUUUGCUUCUUCGGUUGGCUGCCAUCUGUGUCUGCGCCGCCACCAUCUGUGUGUGCGCCGCCAUCAUCAGUGGUGGCAUCCUCGGCGGCACCAUCAGUGGUGUCAUCCCCGACGCCACUAGGGGUUGUGUAAUCAGGAUAGGUGUCUUCCGCGGCGUCAUCAUAGCGGUGAGGUUGUUCCUCCAUCUCUUGGGACAGCUCCCAGAAUUGCUUGCCGCCCGAACCACCGGCCUCAUCGUUGUGGGCCAUGUUUCUCUCUAAAUAGGAAAAAAGUUUGGUCAAAAAGAUGGUUAUUGUCAAGGAACAAGAUCAUGGUCUCAUGAUUUAGGGUUUGUCGACACCGAGGCACCCUAAAAGCCUAAGCUUUCAUCAUUUAGGUUCUCAUCGACACCGAGGCAUCCGGGGCAACCAAGUUAAGUUUUCAUCAUUUAGGGUUUAUCGAUGCCGAGGCACCCUAGGUUGGGCCUAAUCUUGGCUCUAUUGCCACCUAUGUUGGGUUUAUCAUCUAGGGUUUAUCGAUGCUAAGGAUAAUUCUAUGUUGGGCCUAAUCACUUGGCUCUAUUGCCACCUAUGAUUUAAUGCAGCAAGAAUGGCAGGGCAGUUGAUCCUACUUAACUAAGUACUAAGAUAGCCCGGCCCAUGCAUUAGUCGCAAGUACCCCAUAUGUCCUAUUUUUAGCAAAGUCAUGCUAAAAUUCACGGAAAAUUUCAGCAUGACCUUUGCUGAAAAUAGGACAUAUGGAGUACCCGAAUUUGCCGGAACGGAAGUUAAUCGACAUUCCGGCAAACUCAAGGGCCUCUCGGGGUACCUGCAAAUUCAUCACGACACGAUGGUCGGAGACAAAACCCAGCCACAGACCAUAUGGUCCUCUGCUUUCAUAUGGACAAAAAUCAGCUCAACUUAUGUGAGCUUCCAUUCCAGAUAUAAUAUGUCUCCCAACAAAAAAUCAUCAAUAGUUUAGAAAGUCUGUACAAACACAGAAAGAAUGACAAAUGUAUUUUUACAGAUCAUGGCUCAAAGUCAUAAACAUCUAUAGACCAAAUAUAGUAAUGGAUACAGCAGAUUAGUCUUAUGAUUUUACUUGUUCGGUAUAAAAUAGCUUAUGCUUUCCUUACAGUACAUGUCCACAUUUGAUAUGUCCUUUUUGUCUGUCCUGCUUUUUGAAUCAACCGUAUCGAGCAAUACUAUGGAAUUAGUCAAAUAAUUGUGCAUGUUUUGACAAUAGGAUGAAUGCAAAAGAAAAUCAAAUGGUUGUGGCAAUCUGUCCAUCAUCAUGACUGUUGACAGUCGCCACACCCACUGUUGGACUUUGAUCUAGCACAAAGGGGGUGUAUAAGAGCAGAUAUGGAUGGUGUGGUCUGGCACAGAUAGCAGUAUAAUCAUCUUAAUCUUGUAGUGUAAUUUUUAAUCCGUGGAAGCAAACGGGCAUUGUGCUAGUCUAAUAAGAAUACACAUUGUUGAACUUCAUUGCUGGAAUUAAUGGUUUACUAUCGGGAUGUGCCUUAGGAGCAUCGCUUAUCAAGUGAAAACAUAAGACACAAACUUGUAGCUGUAUGUGUUUUGCCAAGAAAGGGUGCAACAAGAAAUAUUUUCCUAGUACUGGUUUAUCUCACCUACUAGUAAAGGGACAUUUCUCCUCAAAUCAAAAGUUAAUACAUCGUUGUUUCUUACUAGGGGAAGAUGGACCUGGAUGGUCAAGCACGUGGAAGAUGGCUUUGUGGGCGCGCCUUCUUAACAGCGAAAAUGCAUACAGAAUGAUCCUAAAGUUAAUCACAUUGGUUCCACCUGGUGAAAAAGUUGGGUUCGAAGGAGGACUGUACACCAAUCUGUGGACAGCACACAUAAGAACAGUAGCAGUAGUACUACUACUAGCAGUAGUACUACCAAAAGAAAGGAAAGAACAGUAGCAGUAGUACUACUNNNNNNNNNNNNNNNNNNNNNNNNNNNNNNNNNNNNNNNNNNNNNNNNNNNNNNNNNNNGGUCGGGGUUGGGGUCGGGGUCGGCGGCGGCGUCGUCGUCGAAGGGAUGCCUCAGUUGGCCGUGGGAAGGCCGGCGGCCGCGGUCGUCGUCCUGCACCCCGUGCCCGGACUGAGGAAGACGCCGGCGUUGAAGCUCCGGCAGCGGCUGGGCGUCGGGGGGCGACGGCGCGGGGGCGAUGGCGCGGGGGCAAAGUUAGGUCGAGUGGGGGGGGAUCUGGCGAGGGAGGGAGAGAGGCCAGAGGGGAAUAGGUGGAGGGAAGCUUUCUAAUGGCACACCAAACGCAGGUGCGCCAUAAGUACGACUGUUCUAAUGGCGCACCACCCCUCGGUGCGCCAUUAGAAUUUUGUUUUAACCUAGCCUAGUAGCCAUAUCUACAGCCCAACCCUAUCUACAAUAGAACCCACGCACUAGCCCGACUGGUUAGCACGCAGCACACACACCAGGAGGUCCUGGGUUCGAUUCCCAGGAUCCCCAAUAUUUUUUUAUGCAUUUUAAAUGGUGUUUUUUAUAUUUAUUUGUGUUUAAAUAUGUUCAAACUUGUUUAAAUCAUAACAGUAAUAUUUUUUAUGCAUUCUAAAUGCUGUUUUUUAUAUUUAUUUGUGUUUAAAUAUGUUCAAACUUGUUUAAAUUAUAACAGUAAUAUUUUUUAUAAAAAUAGUAAAAAAAAUUUAAAAAAUAUGUUCAAAAAGUGCAGGUGCGGGGGGCCGGGUGCUCCGGCGGUGGAGCGGAGGAGGGUUGCGAUGGGUGGAGCUAGCGGGGGAGGGUGCGGGUGCGAUCGAGAUGGAGGGGGAUCGAGAUCGAGAUGGAGGGGGAAUCGAGAUCAAGUGUCCUCAUGAAUUCAAAAAGUGCCCAUGAAAUUUAAAAAUAUUCAUGAUAUCAAAAGGUGCCCAUGAAAUACAAUCGAGAAAUGAAGACUACGAUUUAAAUACAAUCGGUCUUAGCUAGCUAUCUGUUCACAAUCUUCUUGCCCUUCUUUUUCGCAAACGGAGUUCUUCUGUGGAACGGACGUCCUUUAGGUAGGGUGGUCCUGCUUCUUCUUGUGGUGUGUGCUGCUACUUCAUCGUCGUCGUCAUGUUCGAUCUUCGGGUCGCCGUACUUGUCGAAGUCUUGCUCAUUGGCUACUCCAUCCAUUCCGAUGAUCUUCCUUUUGCCUCUCCUCACGACAACACGACUGGGCUUUGGCGGGUCGGUAAUGAAGAAGCAUUGGUCCACAUGGGAAGCCAGUACCCAUGGCUCAUUUUUCGCGGUGACGUUUGCGCCCGCGGUCUUGGAUUUGGCUUCGGGUAUAACCAUGGUGGUGAAAUACCGGUCUUGUUUUAUGACGUUUUUGGCCCAUCUGACACGGAACAUCAGGACCUUCUCUCCAGCGUAGCUCAGCUCCCAGAUCUCCUCGAUCCUUCCGUAGUAUCUGUCCUUGUCGUUACCGGUGUAGGAUUCCAUCGUUACCCCGGAGUUCUGAUAACCAUCGCUCUUCAUGUCCUUGUCCUCGGUGUAGAAUGUGUAGCCGUUGAUAUCGUACGCCUCAUAGGUCAUCAGGUUGUGCUCGGCGCCCUGUGACAAGGCGAAUAUGAGUUGUUCUUCCGCGGAAGAAUCCUCAUGUAAAGGGUACGACAGAAGCUUCUGCUUGAACCAACGCGUGAAACAUGAGUUGUGCUCUUUGAGUAUAUCUCCGUCCGUCCUCUGUUGGCCUCGGUCAUUGUACGUCUUCUUAAUAAAGGUUUUGUGCUCUACCACCCAAGGAUCGACCACGUCUAUGUGUUGUAGCGCGACUAGGUUUGCUCUUUCAAAGUCGGCGAGUCGACCCUCAAAGUCGACAUGCAUUUCGCGGCGACCCUCAUGGUGACCCCAUCCAGCGAGCCUGCCGAGGUGCCUGUUGAUGGGUAGACCAACGGGGUUCUCGAUGCCUAGAUAAUUCGUGCAGUAGGAGAUGCACUCUUCGGUCAGAAAGCCCCUGGCUAUGCUUCCCUCUGGACGUGACAUGUUGCGAACGUAUCCUUUGAUGACACCAUUCAUCCUUUCAAACGGCAUCAUGCUGUGCAGGAAUGUCGGCCCGAGUUGGAUGAUAUCCUCCACUAUAUGGACCAGCAGAUGCACCAUAACGUCGAAGAAUGCGGGCGGGAAGUACAUCUCAAGCUCGCAUAGUAUCACCACGAUCUCUUCUUGUAGCCUUCUGAGUUGCCUCACGCCAAUCGACUUCCGAGAGAUGACGUCGAAAAAGUUGCAUAGGCCAAAUAGCGUUUCACGGACGUGCGCGUCCAUGAUCCCACGGAUUGCAACUGGAAGUAUCUGCGUCAUCCACACGUGACAGUCGUGAGACUUCAUCCCGCUGAACUUCUGCUUCGCUGGGUCUAGGUAUCUGAUUAUCUUCCCCGCGUAACCGUAAGGAAGUUUUACUCCUAGGAGGCAGGUGAAAAACUGCUCGAUCUCCUCCUGACUUAGAGUGAAGCACGCGGGAGGGUAGUCAUUUCCAGUCUUCUUGGCCUUUUUGCCUUUGCGACGACUUUCCGUGUCCUGCUUCGCCUCAUCAUCAUCAUCAUCAUCAUCAUUAGCGUGAAGCUCCUGCCUGAUGCCCAUUGAUUUCAAGUCUGCCCUUGCUUUCGGCCCAUCUUUGGUCCUCUCUGGCAUGUUGAGCAGGGUACCAAGCAGACUCUCGCACACGUUCUUCGUGAUAUGCAUGACAUCAAGGCUGUGAGGCACACGGUGGAUCUUCCAGUACGGCAAGUCCCAGAAAACAGACCUCGUUUUCCAUACCUUCAGCAGCGGCUCUGGCGCCUUUCGCUUCUUUCCCGGCAGUGGGCAGUCUUUCCAAUUUUUCAACAGCUUGUCUAUUUCCUCGCUGCUCCUUGUACACGGGCGUUUUCGGGGUUCGGUUUCACCAUCGAACAGAUCCUUGCGUUUCCUCCACGGGUCAUCGUCGCGAAGCCACCUUCGAUGUCCCAUGAACACGGUUUUCGAAGACCCGGGAUCUCUAUCUAGCUGGCGAUACGUUGUGUCAUCCAUGCACCUUACGCAUCCAGAAAAUCCGUGGACUACCUGCCCCGCGAGAUAUCCGUAACCGAGAUAGUCGUGCACCGUCGUGAGCAGUGCGGCUCUCAUAGGGAAAUAUUCUUUCUCUGCGGCGUCCCACGUAUUGGCUGGCGUUUUCCACAGCGUGUCAAGCUCCUCUUUCAGCAGCCCCAGAUAUAGAUUGAUGUCGUUCCCUGGUUGUUUCGGCCCUUCUAUUAGCAUACUCAUGUGAAUGUACUUCCUAUUCAUGCACAACCAGGGGGAAGGUUGUACAUCCACACAAACACAGGCCAGGUGCUAUGUGUGUUUCUCUGGCUCAAACGGAUUGACUCCAUCGGUGCUCGCGCCAGCACGAUGUUCCUUGGAUCGUUCCCAAAUUCUGGGUAUUCGAAGUUCAACGCUUGCCACUGGCUCGCAUCCUUAGGGUGACUCAGCAUCUUGUCUUUUUUAUCUAUCUCCGGAUCAUUUGCGUCAUCUUCUCGCUUCUUCUCCUCCCUAUCCGCGUGCAAUGCAGGAGCUUUGCUACCUUAGGGUCCGCGAAAUACCGCUGCAGACGAGGAGUGAUCGGAAAGUACCACACCGAUUUUCGAGGAGCUUUCUUCCUCUUCUUGUAUCGAGUGAUGCCGCACACCGGACAUAUGGUAGACUCCGCGUGCUCGUCCCGAUAAAUGAUGAAAUUGUUCAUGCACACAUGGUAUUUCACGUGCGGUAAAUCCAGAGGACACACAAUUUUCUUCGCCUCCUCGAAACUGGUCGGGCACUUGUUCCCCUUGGGAAGACGUUCGUGCCAGAAUGACAUGUUCUCGUCGAAGCAUGCGUCGGUCAUUUUGUGUUUUACCUUCAUCUCCAAAUCCAUGAGCGUUACUUUCAGGCGGGUAUCCUCGGGCCUGCAUCCUUCAUACAAUGGAGUAACCGCGUCUAUCUCCAGUUGAUCCAGCUUGGCUUUCUCUCGGGCGGCAGCUCUUGCGUUAUCCGUCCGCUUGAGAAGCAGCUCUUGAAUAUGAGGGUCCUGCACCCAGCCUCCAUCGUCGUCUGCUCCGGCAUCUUCAUCUUCAUGAUCAUUCCCUUCGUCUUGAUCUUCCUCAUCAUCAUGUACGACAUCUUCUACAUGAUGAUUGUGUACAGCAUCAACGUCGUGAUCAUGUCCUGGAGAUUCUUCGUCUUCUCGCCCGCCCUCGCCGCGGUGGUACUUGUCUUGUUGCCCUUCCUCAUUUCUUGCCCGGCCCCGGCCAUGGACGACUUGAUAGUCAUCUUCAUCACCUUGCCACCGAUAGCCAUCCAUGAAACCACGCAAGAGCAGGUGGUCCCGCACCUGCCCGGAAUCCGGGUCCGCAAUAAGGCUCUUCAGCUUGCAUCUUCGACAUGGACAUCUUAUCUCCGUCUCGUUCUUUUGAAGCAUCUCGGCCUUCGCGGAGCUCAAAAACCUAUUCACGAUGCCUUCAGUCAUCGUGCGGACCAUGGUCGCCUGCGGGGUAGAGCAAAAUGAUAUGUUAGAACCAAGAAAAUUUUUGGCAUGACCUUCCCUAAAAAUAGGACCAAAAAGAAUGCAUAGUGCCAAAAUUCUCGCCGAAACGGAAAUGAAUCAAAACAUUCCGGCAAAAUAUUGGCAACUAUCGCAUAUUUCAAAUACCGGUACCUUCAAACACAAACAUAUAUGGAACACUACAAACACAUGCAACACCACAAACAUACAUAGAUCUAGCUAGGCCACAAAAAGUGCAUGUGCACGUUGUUGGAGCGAGCUAGGGAGAAAAAAAAGUAGAUCUAUAUCAUGAAGAUAGCUUUCCCUUACUUACCUAUCAAAAAAAGGUAAUUUCACCAUUUAAUUUUGUUGAAUCUAUGGUGGAAAUGAGGUGAGGAGGAGGAGAUGGCCGAAAGCUUGGAGAAGGAGGUGGAUGGAAUGAAGUGGGGAAAGUGAGUGGGUAGGUGUGGGCUGUCCAAAAUAUCUUGUUGGUCCCAGGUUACUAAUGGCGCACCGUAGGAAAAUGCGCCAUUAGUAACCCUGGUUACUAAUGGCACAUCAGCCUACGGUGCGCUAUUAGUAGUUUUGCAAAAAAGUAAAAAUAAUAAGUAUAUAUACUAAUGGCGCAUCUCCUCUGAGUGCGCCAUUACUAGUUUAAACUAGUAAUGGCGCACUGUGCCACGAUGCGCCAUUAGUAGUUUUCCAAAAAAAAGAAUAAAACAAAAUUUACAGUAAUGGCGCACUGCCUGCUUGGUGCGCUGUUAGUAGUUAUAGAUAGUAAUGGCGCAUUAUGGACCCGAUGCGCCAUUAGUAUGUAUGGGAAAAUGGAAAAAAAAUAAUUCAUACUAGUGGCGCACCCUGUUUACGGUGCGCCAUUAGUGUCUUCCACACUAAUGGCGUAUCACAAACAGGUGCGCCAUUAGUAUAUAGUAGUGGCGCACUGCUUCCACGGUGCGCCAUUAGAAUCAAUCCUAUCUAUAGCCCUUUUCCUAGUAGUGGGGUCUCGUGGGCUUCCUCGGCAAGAACCUUGCUGAGGAUUGUUGCCUUCCUAUCCUCAUUUGAUCUUGACUGUUCUCUGUCUUCACAAAGAUAUGUAUGCCACCACGGGGGUGCCUCCCGAGCCCUGUCCCAAUGCGCUUCCUUAGCGUUGGUGGGCUCGAAGGUGGCUCGCUCAGCUGGUGUGGACGAGCUGCCACGGCAAGGGUCUUGCCGGGGCCGCUGAGGCUGCCCUCGGCAAGGGUCCUUGCCGGGGCAACCUGCGUUGCCCGUGCGACCUUUGUGGCCUUGGUCCUUGAUGUUGCUUUGUUCGUCUUGUCCCUUCGGGUUCUCUCCGGCGUCCCUCUCCUGCCCUGUUUAUGCAUGGCCGUGGCAGGUACCUCUGACUGCCCAUGCACAAGUAAAGGGGUCAAAAGCAGAGCCCCUACUUUUGUACACCGACACGAGCGGCAAAAAGUUGGCCGCUGCUCCCGGAUUCCGAUCCGGAGCUCCCCUGCGGCUUACGUCCUGGCCCAAGAAUGGUCUGAACUGGUCUUCGUCCGACGAACUGUCGGUACUCCAGACACAAGUCAAAGGUAUGGAAGACAAGAACAGCAAGCUCGUCAAUGUAGUCCAGGUGAUGUUAGUUCGCCGGAUUCUUCCCUGUCUGAACCGGGCAUGCAAUUUAUGGGAGUACGACCCAGCCGAGCACCAGACCCUGCGGGCGCUCUAUGGUUCCUCGCAUGUGGACAUCUGGAAGGUGCUCUUCAAGUCUGACAAAUCGUGGCCGGACUCUGCCGAGGACCGUGGAUACAAACUGUCCCGCCCUGCAAGUCCAGUAAGUCAUCGCCAUGUCCGACAAUUCAUAUGUUUCAUUUGCAUAUCCUAAGGAAGAUGCUUAAUAUGCUUCCGAUAAUUCUCCUAGGGCUGGAUGAAGAAGGCGGGGCGGAUCCACUGUCCGGCCCCAUUGCCGGAAGAACCGGCCUGCUCGCUUCUGACGAAGAUGCUGGUCCCGACGCCUUACAAGGCGUCGGAGAAGAAGGCCGAGAAGGAGGCCAAGGAGACCAGGGGCGACCUUCGUUGCUGUGGCGCUUCGGACACAAAAUCCGAAGACUCCAAUGCCCAUUCUUCCUCCGAAGAGCACGAGGAGGAGGAGGAAGAUGAAUCCCCGUAAAGGGAAGAAAGAAAAGGACGGCCUCCUCAUCCUUGGAGGCCGAAUCGCCUAAGAGGGGAAGAACCCCCCUUCCAGAGGCGUCCGCCACUGCUGCCGAUAGCAGCCCGGAGUGGGAUCCCAGGGCCCAGUCCCUGGUGAACUCGUGUGUACACGAAAUCCGAACAUGCCUACGCAUCCAGGAUUAUUAAGGGGUAAUAUUUUAAUUUGCGCCAUAAUUUUUGCAGCCAGCGAGGUCCCGCACCAAACAAUCCUCGUCAGAUGACUGCUGAGUCCGGAUGACAUAGAGAGCAAGAAACCCCCGAAGGCCCCUUCCCCUAAGCAUAGGAAUGACACCGAGGUGUCGUCCCAGAAGGACCCAGACCAGGGAGGCCAAACUUUAGGGGCCGGAUGUAUGGGAGCGAUGGCUCCUAUGAGCGUCGACGGCGGGGGCGAUCUUGAAUUCGUCCCACAGCCGGACACAUUCCCGGAGACCUUCAAGGCUCCAGAGUCAGGCAGGCAGCCUCCCUCGGCUGGAGGGGGCGUGCCUGCUCUGCCGACAACCUCUAACCAACCGGAGGUGCAAGGCAGCUUAUCAACAGCGCUAAAAAGUGCUUCCAUCAUCGAUGAACAUCGCGCCCUUAUGGGUGCGGUGAUUGAGAAGAUUCAGUCCGCUGAAAGUGGACUGAAUGAAUCCUGCAUCAGCCUUAUAAAAGGCUUUGAGGUAUGUUUUAUGAGGUUUUGAAGAUUGUCAUAGUAUGGAUAGUAGCCGCUGAUAUACUGUUUGGUGAAAGAAAGCACCGGACAGAUGAUCAAAUUUCCGUUCGCAGGAGACUCAGUUGAUGACAUAUAUCUCUUCCUUUAUAAGCAGGCGUCCGUAGCGACUGCCGCCUCUCAUACUGCGGAAGUAUCCGGACUGAAGCAGAGUCUGGAGCAGGCCCAAGAAGAACUUGGCCUAGUGAAGAAGCAGUUGGAGGAUAGGCGAGGUAUGCCGAGACCUUGUUCCGUUCAGCACAAAUGAAUAAGUGUGCCUGAUGAAAGUAUUUGUAUUAUGCGCUCUAGGGGCGAUGGCCGAAAUUGAGGCGCUUAAGAAGGUUGUGGCCGAAGCCAAAAAGAAGGCAGCCGCGGAGCAGGCUCUUUGCGAGAAACACGUGGCCAGGGUCAUUGAAGCUGAGCGAGAGAUUCAGAAUGCCGUGAAGAAAAGCGAGACUUUGGAGCAGAGGUUAUCAGGGAAAGAAUUCGAACUCUCCCAUGCUCUCCAAACCGCAAAUGAUGCUCGAGAAGAAGCCCAAGGUGCUCUGAAGGAAAUUCAGGAGGCAAGGAAGAUUGCGGCUGGUAAGGCUUUUGCUCAUACAAAGUGGUCUUUAUUUUGUGAAAGGAGAAAAUCAAGUUGAUAAAUUGAAUUCUAAUUUCUCCAGGGGUGUUUGCGGAGCUACCACGCAGCAUAUCUGAUGCCGCCCAAUUCUACCGAGCGGAAGAAAAGAAGACUGCGGAGAAGCUCUUCUGGUUGCAGUAUUUGGCGCCGAAUUAUCUGGUGCCAUUUACCGAUCAGCUGAAGAAGCUGAUCGAACUGCACAAGGCGGACGAACUAGCCAUGAAGGAUUUGAUUGUCCGGCUAUGGCCUGCCGAGCCGAUUCCAAGCAGUUAUUUUGGGCUCGUGAAUCGGCUGGUGAGUGCCUGCCCUCGACUCGAAGUCGUGAAGCGGUCGGUCUGUAUGGAGGGUGCGCGGAUGGCCAAGCUGCACUGGGGAAAGCUAGACGCAGAGAAGCUGAUGACCGAGGGACCGCCGGAGGGGAAGGAGCACCGCAAACCUGAAUUGUAUUAUGAUAGUGUCCUGAAAGGAGCCCGCCUUGUGGCGGAGAAAUGCACUAAGGACAUUGUAUUUCCAUGAGUACGGUCAUUCUUGUCCUUUGUAAUGCUAAACAAGGUCAUUUGUAUUGUUUAUUGCCUGUUUGUGUAAAAGUUUUUCAUCCUGCGUGGCCAUUUUGAAAUAUACUAAUCCUGAGAGUUGGCCAGUCGUCGGCUUCUGCCCGCACGUAGGAAGUACGGGGGUGUUCGGGAUAAACCUAAGCACUCUUUCUCCCAUUUUUGGGUCCUUGAAGGAGGUGUCCAGCACAACGAACCAGGCAAUCAGACUAUAGGGCUUUAUCACUCUCACUUAGCCAUAGGAGUUUGUCAAAAGUAUGGUAGGUGCAACCCCUGGUGUUCGGAAGACCGCACGUGGGGCUCUAUAAGCACCUGAUCGGGAGAAAAACCGAUCCAUCGCAUGCUGCAUUGGUUAUGGCAUUAUGCAGAAUAAAUCUUUAAAGAUUUUACAACCUCUCGAACAGCUGACCAGCUCUCGCCGUAUCAUGACAGUCAGUUUUCAGCUUUCUCUACUGAGGUGCUCGUCCGGAAGAACCGGGACACAAUCGCAGUAGUUCUCCCAGCGCUACCUUAGCCGAUAUAGCAGAACGUAAGGUACCAAAACAUGGGAGCCGGGCAAACCCAACUAUUGACCCAAGACAUGAUUCGGAGCUGAUGCAUAUAAUGCUAUAAGUUCGGGGUGGCGAACGAUCGAGAAGGUGGUCGGACUUUAGUGCCAUGUUAUGGGUACAAUGAAGCCCCUGGCGUAUUUAAAGGCACACACGAUGUAUGGAUGCCGUUAUGACGAAAGGUGCCAAUAGGAAAUGAUAGCAGAGAAGCGUCAUAUAAAUUUCGAGCAAUACAUCUAGGUGUAUGAGUAAAAGUAAGUUUGUAAAAAGAAGUGUCAUGGCGGAACCUACUGAGAUCAGGCGGGAAGGAGCUGUGUGUGGAUCCGGAGUGUAUCCGGAUUGUCUUCAAGGGGACUAUCUAGGGAUUCCCUUGCACGUCCAAGUUGAUUCCCGGUCGCUAGUCCUGUCCUACGCGAAAGCGACCCUGCAAAGAGAAUGCUAGAAACAUUUGUGUGCCAUGAAGCAGUUGAGCCACGGGAUGUGGCCCUUCCCCACUUAUGUUGGAGUGUUUAGUUGAGCCCUAGUCGAGCCGAGCUAUCAUGCCGUGAAUUAGUUCAGACUCCUUUAUCGGUGUCCAGGAGUUUGGCUGUCGAAUCAAGGUUCGAUUGAAAGGCGCCACUCGCUGCUUCUGUCGUUAAAGUGGUGGUAUACUCUUUGGCGCCAAGGUGGAGUUCGACUUUGCCCUUAAUUGUGAUGACGUCAUGCGGGCUAGGCAUUUUGAACUUGCCAUGGGCGUAGUGUGGUACCGCGUUGAAUCGAACCAACGCGGUUCACCCCAGUAGUGCGUGAUGAUUACUGCAGAGAGGGACAAUGUCAAAGACUAACUCUUCGGUACGGUAAAUGUUUGGUGAUCCGAAGACUACCUCCAGAGUGAUGGAGCCUAUACGAACGGCCUCCACACCUGGUAUGACACCUUUAAAGGAGGUUUUAGUGGGUUUGAUCAUCGAGCGAUCGAUACCCAUCUGGCACACUGUGUCCUGAUACAGCAGGUUUAGACUGCUGCCUCCGCCCAUAAGGGCUCACAUGAGGUGGAACCCGCAAACUAUUGGGUCGAGGAUAAGUGCGGCUGAAUUGCCCUGGUUGGUAUUGGCCGGAUGGUUUGUAUGAUCAAAAGUGAUCGGCCGUAUUUUUAUACUGUGGGGGGACUCGCUCCGUUAAGUCGAUGUCCCGAAAAGUGCACGUCCUUUCCCGUUUGGGGAUGUGGAUGGUGUUUAUCAUGUUCACCGUUUUGAUUUGCGGGGCAAUGUUCUUUUGCCCUCUAUUGUUUGGUGAUCUGGGCUCCUCGUCGUCUUCAUCGCUUUGAGACCCCUUCUCCUUGUUCUCGGCGCCUGACCUGCAGUCUUGUUUAAAGACCCAGCAUUCUAUGUUGGUAUGAUUGGCUGCCGUUCCUGGGGUACCAUGAAUUUGGCAUGGGCGGUCAAGUAUGCGGUCCAGGCCGGAUGGGCCCGAAUUGUUCUUUUGAAGUGGCUUUUUCCGCUGACUGGACUGAGAGCCACGGAACCCAGCAUUAACUGUCGUAUCUUUGGCGUCAUCAUUGUUUUUGCGACGCUUAUGUUUGUUGCGUCGAGGUUCCCCUUUGCUGUCUCUGGCCUCUGAUGUGCCAGGAUUGCUUCCUGUGUUGUUGCUACGAGCCAACUAGCUAUCUUCGCCCGCACAAAAGCGGGUCAUGAGUGUCGUGAGGGCUGCCAUGGAUUUCGGCUUUUCUUGGCCGAGGUGUCGGGCGAGCCAUUCAUCGCGGAUGUUAUGCUUAAAGGUCGCUAGGGCCUCGGCGUCCGGACAGUCGAUGAUUUGGUUCUUUUUAGUUAGGAACCGAGUCCAGAAUUUCCUGGCUGACUCUCCGGGCUUUUGGGUUAUGUGACUUAAGUCGUCAGCGUCCGGUGGUCGCGCGUAAGUGCCCUAGAAGUUGUCAAGGAAUGUGUUUUCUAGGUUUUCCCAACUGCCAAUGGAGUUAGUCGGCGGGCUAUUCAGCCAAUGUUGAGUUGGUCCUUUGAGCUUAAGUGGGAGAUACUUGAUGGCAGGUAGAUCGUCACCGCCGGCCAUGUGAAUGUGGAGAAGGAAAUCUUUGAUCCAUACUGUUGUACCAUCAUAUGAUUCAGUUUUUACGGGUUUGAACCCUUCUGGGAAUUCAUGAUCCAUUACUUCGUUGGUGAAGCAUAGGGGGUGUGCGGCGCCUCUAUGCCGGGUUAUGUCUCGAUGCAGUUCGAAUGAGUCUGGUUUGUUAUAUUCGGCCCGGCCGGACUUGUUUUUAGUGUAUCCGGCGUGACGAUUAUCUUCACGCGUUGUGACGCGCCCCCGCGAUCCGGAGAUCGAUCUUGACUGUCCUGCUUUGUUUCCCAAUACGUCUCACAGGUCUUGCGUGUACCCCCUGGCCGUACUAUAUUGGUGCGGGGUGUGGGCUGGUAUUCGGGCUCAUGCGCCGCUUUGUCUCGGCCUGAGGUGGCCGGUCAGCCUCGUCCUGCGCUGGUAGUGUAGGCUCUAGUGCCCCCUCCUUGAGUGGAGGUAGCAACCUGCCCUUUGGGUAACUUUUGGUUGGGCGCACGAGCCUGUAUUCCUCGGCUGCCAGGACCUCAGUCCAUCUAUCUGUUAGCAAAUUUUGAUCAGUUUGAAGCUGCUGCUGUUUUUUCUUCAGGCUUUUUGCAGUGGCUAUAAGCCGGCGCUUGAAGCGCUCCUGCUUGAUGGGAUCCUCAGGCACGAAAAAUUCAUCGUCACCGAGGCUCACCUCGUCUUCGGAGAGAGGCAUAUAAUUCUCGUCCUCCAAGUCUCCAUUCGUUGCCUGUUCAUCUGGGUUGGCUUGCUGAUACGUCUCCAACGUAUCUAUAAUUUAUGAAGCAUUCAUGCUAUUUUAUUAUAUGUUUUGAAUGAUUACGGGCUUUAUUAUACACUUCUAUAUUACUUUUGGGACUAACCUAUUAACCGGAGGCCCAGCCCAUAUUGCUGUUUUAUUGCAUGUUUCAGUAUUUCGAAGAAAAGGAAUAUCAAACGGAGUCCAAACAGAAUGAAACAUUCGGCAAAGUUAUUUUUGGAACAAAACCAAUCCCAGGAACUUGGAGUGCAAGCCAGGGGAUCAUCGAGGAGGCCACGAGCUAGGGGGCGCGCCCACCCCCUGGGCGCGCCCUACCCUCUCGUGGGCCCCUCGAGGCUCCCCCGACCAACUUCUUUCGCCUAUAUAUUCCCUCGUACCCUAAAAACAUCAAAUAUCAAGAUAGAUCGGGAGUUCCGCCGCCGCAAGCCUCUGUAGCCACCAGAAACCUCUCGGGAGCCCUUCCCAGCACCCUGCCGGAGGGGGGAUCCUUCACCGGUGGCCAUCUUCAUCAUCCCAGCACUAUCCAUGACGAGGAGGGAGUAGUUCACCCUCGAGGCUGAGGGUAUGUACCAGUAGCUAUGUGUUUGAUCUCUCUCUCUCUCUCAUGUUCUCUCUCGUGUUCCCUCUAUGGCACGAUCUUGAUGUAUCCCGAGCUUUGCUAUUGUAGUUGGAUCUUAUGAUGUUUCUCCCCCUCUACUCUCUUGUGAUGAAUUGAGUUUUCCUCUUGAAGUUAUCUUAUCAGAUUGAGUCUUUAAUGAUUUGAGAACACUUGAUGUAUGACUUGCCGUGAUUAUCUGUGGUGACAAUGGGGUAUCAUGUGCCACUUGAUGUAUGUUUUGGUGACCAACUUGCGGGUUCCGCCCAUGAACCUAUGCAUAGGGGUUGGCACACGUUUUCGUCUUGACUCUCUGGUAGAAACUUUGAUGCACUCUUUGAAGUACUUUGUGUUGGUUGAAUAGAUGAAUCUGAGAUUGUGUGAUGCAUAUCGUAUAAUCAUGCCCACGGAUACUUGAGGUGACAAUGGAGUAUCUAGGUGACAUUAGGGUUUUGGUUGAUAUGUGUCUUAAGGUGUUAUUCUUGUAUGAACUCUAUGAUAGAUUGAGCGGAAAGAAUAGCUUCAUGUUAUUUUACUACGAACUCUUGAAUAGAUAGAACAGAAAGGAUAACUUUGAGGUGGUUUCAUACCCAACCAUAAUCUCUUCGUUUGUUCUCCGCUAUUAGUGGCUUUGGAGUGACUCUUUGUUGCAUGUUGAGGGAUAUUUAUAUGAUCUAUCUAUGUUAUUAUUGUUGAGAGAACUUGCACUAGUGAAAGUAUCAACCUUAGGCCUUGUUUCCUACCAUUGCAAUACCGUUUACGCUCACUUUUAUCGUUAGUUACCUUGCUGUUUUUAUAAUUUCAGAUUACACAUACCUUUAUCUACCAUCCAUAUUGCACUUGUAUCACCAUCUCUUCACCGAACUACUACAUCUAUACAAUUUACCAUUGUAUUGGGUGUGUUGGGGACACAAGAGACUCUUUGUUAUUUGGUUGCAGGGUUGUUUUAGAGAGACCAUCUUCAUCCUACGCCUCCUACGGAUUGAUAAACUUUAGGUCAUCCACUUGAGGGAAAUUUGCUACUGUCCUACAAACUUGUGCACUUGCAGGCCCAACAACGUCUACAAGAAGAAGGUUGUGUAGUAGACAUCAAGCUCUUUUCUGGCGCCGUUGCCGGGGAGGUGAGUGCUUGAAGGUAUAUCUUUAGAUCUUGCAAUCGAGUCUUUUAGUUUCUUGUUUUAUCACUAGUUUAUUUUAUAAAAGAAAACUACAAAAAAAAUGGAAUUGAGUUUGUCUCAUACGCUUCAUCUUUUUAAUAUCUUUCGUGAGAACGAUGGAAAGGAAAAUUGUGCUCAAGUGCUAGAAGAAGAAAUUUAUAAAAUGUUUGUCACUAAAUCUUUGAAUGGUGAGCAUGAUGGCAACGUUGUUAGUAUGAAUUCUUUGAAUACCCAUGAUGCUAAUGAUAUGCAAAGCCACAAGCUUGGGGAUGCUAUGUUUGAUGAAGAUGAUAUGUUUUGUCCCCCAAGUUUUGAUGAGAAUAUUUAUUAUGAUGAAAGCAUGCCUCCUAUUUAUGAUGAUUAUAUUGAUGAAAGUGGGUUUUGAAGAGUGUCAACUUUAGGUAGUAUUGAUCCCACUAUUUUGGAGGAUGAAUCUUAUUGUGAUGAAUAUGAAAGUGGAUUUAGAAGAGUGUCAACUUUAUUUAGUGAUGAUUCCACUAUUUCGGAAGAGGUUCCAAUUGAUUAUGAGAAUAAAGUUGCUAUCUAUGAUGAUUAUUGUGAUGACAUGUAUGCUAUAAAGAAUAAUAACCAUGAAACUUAUCAUCAUGAUUUUAGUUUUCAAUUGGAUUAUGCCUCACAUGAUAGUUAUUUUGUUGAGUUUACUCCCACCAUUCCGAAUGAGAAGAAUUUUGCUUAUGUGGAGAGUAGUAAAUUUUCUAUUCUUGUAGAUCAUGAAAAGAAUGCUUUAGGUGUUGGUUAUAUUGUUGAAUUAAUUCAUGAUGCUACUAAAAAUUAUUAUGAGGAAGGAACAUAUGCUUGUAGGAAUUGCAAUAAUAUCAAGUUUCCUCUCUAUGUGCUUAAAAUCUUGAAGGUGUGCUUGUUUUGUCUUCCUAUGCUAGUUGAUUAUUGUUUCCAUAAGUUGUUUGCUCACAAAAUCCCUAUGCAUAGGAAGUGGGUUAGACUUAAAUGUUCUAGUCAUAUUCUUCAUGAUGCUCCCUUUAUGUUUCCAUUCUUAUCUUUUAUGUGAGCAUCAUUGAAAUCAUCAUGCCUAGCUAAAAGGCAUUAAAGAAAAGUGCUUGUUGGGAGAUAACCCAAUAUUUACCCUUAAUGUUUUUGUGUGUACACAUGAUUAUGCUACUGUAGUAAUCAUGUUUUAUAGCUUUUGUUUCAAUAAAGUGCCAAGUUGAGCCUUUGGGAAGACUUGGGUGAAAGUCAAUGUGAUCUUGCUGUAAAAAACAGAAACUUUAGCACUCACGAGAUUAGCUGCCAUAUUUUACUGGAGAGUGCUUGUAGGUUGAUUAUUUUUUCAUAUGAUUAAUAGACAAAUUCCUCAGGUCCACCAAUUUAUUUCAUAAUUUUUGGGGUUCCAGAAGUAUACGUUUGAUACAGAUUACUAUAGACUGUUCUGUUUUUGACAGAUUCUGUUUUCAUUGUGUUGUUUGCUUAUUUUGAUGAAUCUAUGGAUAGUAUGUAAGGGUAUGAACCAUAGAUAAGUUAUAAUACAGUAUAUAUUACACCAAUAUGAAUUUAGAAUGAGUUCAUUACAGUACCUAAGUGGUGAUUUAUUUUCUUAUACUAACGGAGCUUACGAGUUUUGUGUUGAGUUUUGUGUGGUUGAAGUUUCAAGUUUUGGGUAAGGAUUCGAUGAACUAUGGAAUAAGGAGUGGAAGGAGCCUAAGAUUGGGGAUUCCCAAGGCACCCCAAGGUAAUAUUCAAGGACAACCAAGCAACUAAGCUUGGGGAUGCCCCGGAAGGCAUCCCCUCUUUCGUCUUUGUUCAUCGGUAACUUUACUUGGAGCUGGGGCAUCCCCUCUUUCGUCUUUGUUCAUCGGUAACUUUACUUGGAGCUAUAUUUUUAUUCACCACAUGAUAUGUGUUUUGCUUGGAGCGUCAUUUUUUUUGUUAGUAUUUGCUUGCUGUUAUGUAGAAUAACGUUUUGCAUCUUUAUUUUUAAUAAAAAUGUCAAGGAUAGCCUUUACCUUGCUUGUUUUGCUAGUAUACAUGUUGCUGUUUGAAAACAGAAAGUUUACCGCUGUUGCAAACAUUCCCUAGAAAAGUCAGGGAAUGGUAUAAUGUUGAAACUUUUUGCAUAUUUAGCUCUGAUAAAUUCAUUACAGUGGUAAUUUUAUUUCAUAAUUUUUGGAGUUAGGGAAGUAUGAUGAGUCUUGCAUUGUUUACAGACUAUACUGUUUUGGCAGAUUGCUGUUAUGUUUGCAUUGUUUGCAUAUGCUUGCUUGUUUAAUGAUUCUAUUUGAGGAUAGGAGUAUUAAAUAUGCAGAGACAUUUAGUAUGCAAUGUUGAAUAAUAAUAUUAGUGAUUUAUUACAUUAGAAAAUGAUAAGGUUUUGCAUUGGUUUAUACAAACCUAUCUCACAAGUUCUUGUUGAGUUUGUUGUGGAUGAAGCUUUUGAUAAAAAGAAGAGAAACCGUGAUAUGAAAGGAAUUAAGGAGACACAAAAGUUCAAGCUUGGGGAUGCCCAAGGCACCCCAAGAUGAUAUUUCAAGAAGUCUCAAGCAUCUAAGUUUGGGGAUGACCCGGUAGGCAUCCCACCUUUCUUCAACAACUAUCAGUUAGUAUCGGUUGAGCCUAAGUUUUUUGCUUCUUCACAUGAGUCGUGGUAUCCUUGCAAUGUCAUUUUAUUUUGCUUUGCUUUCUGUUUGAAUAAAAUACGAAGAUCUUAAAUUCCUAAAUGAGAGAGAGUCUUCACAUAGUUGCAUAAUUAUUUAGCUACUCAUUGAUCUUCAUUUAUAUCUUUUUGGAGUAGUUUUUCAUUUACUCGUGUGCUUGACUUAUAUCCUAUGAGUAACUGGUUGAAUGAGUUGAAUGUCAUAAAUCUGAAAUUAUAUAUGUUUCAUUUGCUUAUCCCAUGGGGAGUAAUGACUUCACAUCUAAGAAGUAGAGGUAGUAAGUUUAUUGACGGUUAGCAAGCAUUGUAUUGGUCAUUUGAACAAUUCAUGAAAUAAUCGACAGUGGCUAUUAAGUGAGUGGUGGAUGGGUAACGAAUUUCUUCGUCGUCCGCUUCCCACUCGAGCCGGACACAGUUCGGCCAAGAGUCUCCUGAUAAAGAGAAAGACCUUAGUGAAUUUAGCACGUCACCCAAGGGUGAGUGUUGAAACAUAUCCGCGGAGGUAAACUCCAUGUUCAGUGCCCAACGGAUUCGACAGGCACGGACAUACGCGGUCCGGAACCCGAGACCGGAGACAAGUCCGGGGGUUUGGUGACACAGAUUUCUUUAGAGGUGGAGUCUGUGUUCGGCUCCAUCACCGAUGAGUGUGCGGCCUCCGUGGCGGGGUCCAUCCACCCAUCCUCGGAUGGUGCAAUCUGCUCCAGAUUAAAGCCGGGGCAGCUGCAGGUGCGAUAGUCCAAAGACCGUCAGAGGGCAGAUCUAAGUCAUGCCCGUCGUGGUUGUUCGGCGCUCCUGACGUAGGCCCGAAUUCGUCGAAGAUCAAGUCCCCGCGGAUGUGGCCGUGUAGUUCAAGUUUCCGAACCUGGCCUGAUGGCCAGGGGCGUAGCUGUCGAUCUGCUCCAGAUGGCCAAGCGAGUUGGCCUGCAGUGCGAAGCCGCCGUAUACGAUGAUCUGUCCGGGGAGAAGAGUCUCACCCUGGAUCGCAUUGUUGCUGGUGAUUGAAGGAGCCAUCAAGCCUUGAAACGACAACAUAGUGGAACUCUCAAUGAAAGCACUAAUGUCGGUGUCAAAACCGACGGAUCUUGGGUAGGGGGUCCCGAACUGUGCGUCUAAGGCUAAUGGUAAUAGGACGCUGGGGACACGAUGUUUACCCAGGUUCGGGCCCUCUCGAUGGAGGUAAUACCCUACUUCCUGCUUUAUUGAUCUUGAUGAUAUGAGUAUUACAAGAGUUGAUCUACCAUGAGAUCGUAGAGGCUAACCCUAGAAGCUAGCCUAUGAUUAUGAUUGUUCUUGUCCUACGAACUAAACCCUACGGUUUAUAUAGACACGGAGGGGGCUAGGGUUACAUAGAGUCGGUUACAUAGAAGGAGAUCUAUACAUCCGAAUCGCCAAGCCUGUCUUCCAUGCAAACGAGAGUCCCAUCCGGACACGGGACGAAGUCUUCAAUCUUGUAUCUUGAUAGUCCAACAGUCCGGCCAAUGUGUAUAGUCCGGCUGUUCGAAUACCCCCUAAUCCAGGACUCCCUCAAGGGCUAUUACCGGAUGAUGUUUCCCGAGGCCCGAAGCUGUCUAAAUCCUUGUCUUAUGUGUUGAUCCGUCACGUGUCUCUCAUCCCGACCAACCCCUCUCAAGCUACCACAUAGAUGCGUUGGACUCACGACUAAGUCCGCACACUAGGACAUCUGCCGUGACAAAUCCACGACACUCGCCAUGCCUGUCACAACCAUCUUCCUUUUGGCCUCUCUUUUUUCGUCCCGAUUCUCAUACCGACUUGUGGGGGAAUCAUAGUCUCCAUCGCCCUUUCCUCAUCAGGACAAUGCUCUAAUAAUGAUGACCAUCACAAUUUUAUUUACUUACAACUCGAUAAAACUGAAAAUAUGACUCUAUAUGAAUGCCUCUAGCAGUGGCUGAGCUACAAGUAAUAUGUCAGCUAUAUGAUAAUGCAAAGCAAUAUGAAAAUGAAGGUUUAUGAAAUAAAAAUGAACGGUGCAAGUUGCAUGACAAUAUAUUUCGGAAUGGCUAUGAAAAUGCCAUAUAGGUAGGUAUGGUGGAUGUUUUGGGGAAGGUAUAAGGAGGCUUAUGUGUGAUAGAGCAUAUCAUCUCACGGGGUUUGAAUGCACCGACGAAAUUUGCACCAACUCUCGAGGUGGGAAAGGGCAAUGCAUGGUAUCGAAGAGGCUAGCAAAUUGCACAUACUUGGGCAACGUCUAAUGGCGGAGACUUUGUCUGGUGAUGGCACAGUCGGCUGCGUUGUUGAUAGGGCCCUUCGGUGACAGCGCUAUGGGUUGGUGAUAACGGCCGAGCUACGUUGGCGGUUAUGUGGAUAGGCAAAAAUGAGGGGAGAAAUAGGACGGGUCAGGCUAGGUCAGGGUUCUCAUAAGAUUUGAAAUAGGCCCUGGCGGAUAGGCCGACAUGUCAGACGUGUCCGGGCGACCCCAUACCGCCCACAUAUAUAUGGGUUGGGAAUGGGUGCCAGGCAGCCCAAAACUAAUUGAAUGAAUCCAAAGAGAUAAUUUAUACUCAUUAAAAUUCUUUUUAAAAAAUUAUACUCAUUAAAAGCCUUCCUUUCUAACACUGCCCCCUUUAACUUUCUACCAUAGUUAGAGCCAUGUCGAUAAAUAUUUAUCUUUGACCAAUUAAUAUUUCACUUUUAAUUGAACGAAGUAGUAAUUAAAUUGGAGAGGCCUUAUCUUUGGGUCACAUUAAUUUCCUACUUUGAUAUGGGGAGAGACUUCCAGGCUAUAUAACAAGGUGAAUUAGCACAGAAGCACCGUGUCAGUGUCAGUAUCAGUGUAGGAAGAGCGGCAGAUCCACCGAAAUGGCAAGCAUAGCGCUCGUGCUCACAGUUUGCUUCUUGGGCUUUUACGUGCCCGCCCCUUCCCUGGCGUCGUCCUCCAACAACAACGACUUCCUCCGGUGCCUCUCCACUAGCAUCCCCGGCCAGCUCGUGCUGACGCCGAGCUCGCCGUCGUUCACGCCGCUCCUCGUGUCAUCCAUCAGGAACGCCAGGUUGGUGGCGCCGGCGACGGCGAAUCCUCCGCUCUGCAUCGUGACGCCCACAAACGCGUCGCACGUUCAGGCCGCCGUGCGCUGCGGGCGCCGCCACAGCGUGCGCGUCCGCGUGCGCAGCGGCGGGCACGACAAUGAGGGCCUCUCUUACCGAUCGGCCACCCCCAACGGCGAGGCGUUCGCGGUGAUCGACCUCGCCAAGCUCCACGCCGUCCACGUCAACCCGCAUGAGGCCACCGCGUGGGUCGAGACCGGGGCAACGACCGGAGAGCUCUACUACCGCAUCGCCACUGCGGCGCCAGGGCUGGGCUUCCCGGCUAGCGUGUGCCCGACCGUGGGCGUGGGGGGCAUCAUUAGCGGCGGCGGCAUAGGCCUCAUGAUGCGCAAGUAUGGACUCUCCGCCGACAACGUCCUCGACGCUAGUAUGGUGGAUGCCAACGGGAACCUACUGCCGAACAAGAAGGCCAUGGGGGACGACCUCUUCUGGGCAAUCCGCGGCGGCGGCGGCGGGAACUUCGGCAUCGUGCUGGCAUGGAAGCUGAGGCUCGUACCGGUCCCACCAAAGGUGACCUUCCUCAAAGUCGCCAAGACCAUGGACCAGGGCGCGGUCGACGCGGUGACCAAAUGGCAAACGCUCGCGCCGGCGCUCCCUGACGACCUCAGCGUACGGGUCGUUAUCCAAAAGAGUCAGGCCAACUUCCAGUCCCUCUACCUCGGCAACUGCAGCACGGUGGUGGCGACGAUGCGCAGCCGGUUCCCGGAGCUCGGGGUGACGAGCGCCGACUGCAAGGAGAUGAGCUGGCUGCAGUAUACGGCGUACAUAUACUUCGGCGACGCUAUCAACAGCAAGCCGCUGGAGGCGCUCCUCCUCAACCGGUCGACGACCCUAGGCCCCUUUGUUAAGAACAAGUCCGACUACGUCAAGAAAGCCCUCACCAAGGAGACCUGGAAGAAGAUCUUCCUUUGGCCCAACGGCGCGGGGUCGGGGCAGCUCAUCCUCGAGCCGCACGGCGGAAUAAUGGGCCGCAUUUCCGCCAACAAGAUCCCGUUCCCGCACCGGAGCAGCGUGCUCUACAACAUCCAGUACGUGGAGCUGUGGAAGGGCAAAGAGGCCGGGGGCGACAUUACACCGAACUGGAUCGGGAGCCUUUACGAGUUCAUGACGCCGUACGUGAGCAAGAACCCGAGGGGCGCCUACGUGAACUACCGGGACCUUGACAUGGGCGUGAACAAGGUGGUCGGUGGGGUCAUGUGUUACGAAACUGCCAAGGUGUGGGGCGAGAGGUAUUUUGGCCCCGCAAACUUCAAGAGGCUCGCCAAGAUCAAGCGCAAGGUGGACGCCAGCGACUACUUCCGGAACGAGCAGAGCGUGCCGCCGCUUCCCUUGAAGUAGUGGUCAAGCUGUGCAAAUCAAUCUUGUUUGUCCGUAUUGUAACUGCUAAUAAUAGUUCUGAUGAGCUAAUAAGGCCAUUAACAUUUGUCAACAUAAUUAUGAUAAAGUGCUCAGUUUUUUCUCUCAUAUAAGUUUUCCAUUUUUCUUAUUCUCAGCUGCAAGUGAAUUUGUGUGAAAUUUAUGUGAUAUUUUAAGACUGCACCACUAUUAAGAGGUUACUACUAUGAGGUAAAAUAAUUUUCAGGGAAUUUUGAUCAGUCAGUGAAAUUUAUAAGAUAGUAUUUUUU